CUACUUUAUUCUUCUCGUACUGAUCGAUUCGAUUCAUCUCGUAUUGAUUCAUAGAUAGAUAGAUAAGUUUUCGUUGUUAAGCAAGAUCUUUGUUUACUUUCUUCUGCUAUGAUUAUGAAUGUAGAGUUUUUUUUUUUUUUUUUUUUUUUUUUAAUUUUGUUGUUUGUACAGUUUGAUUGGUUAUCGUUGUUUGCAUUCUUCUGCAAUCUUACUAAUGUUUCUGCUAUGAAUCUAAUAAGGUUUAUUGUCCAUUGUUGUGUUGUUUGUACUAGUAUACUACUAUUUCAUGAAGCUAUUAAUUAAAACUUCGUUUUCAAUUUACAAAUAACUUUUUCUGUUCUUGUGUUGGAAAUAUUACCUCUGCAUUUGGCUUGUUUAAUGGUAUUUUGGAUUUGAUUUGUUGGUUCAAAAGUCAGGGUUGUGCUCCUGUUAUAUCGUUUUAGAUUAAUUUGUCCCUAAAGAUUUAAGCUUUUCAAUCCAUAUUUGUUUUGGUUGAUUAAAAUGCUCUGUCCUGAUUUUUCAUCUUGUGAAAACAACCCACACACAGUAGGGGGGUCAUUAAGAACAGGACAUGGAGAAUAUAGAUCACCAAAGAGAGUAGACCUUGAAUGGGGUCACUACUUCAGACCUUGUAUUAUGUGACCCUUGGCCAUGGUGUCCGAUCUUAUGUAAAUAAAGGUCUAUGUUCGGUGUGGUGAAAGAACCUCCAGUCCUGUAAUUUAGUAUCUCUCUAUAGUGUGUGGGCUGUCCGAUCUUGUUGUUGUUGUGAGAAGUUGGAAAUAUUACAUCCGAAUUUGGCUUGUUCAAUUGGAUUUUGGAUUUGAAUUGUUGGUUCAAAAAUCAAAAGUGAGCGUUGUGCUCCUGUGAUUUCGUUUUCAAUUAAUUUUGUCCCUCGAGAUUUAAGCUUUAAAAUCAAUAUUUUUUGUUUUUUUUUUGGUGUGAUUGAAAUGUUCAUUGUGUAUGUGAUGUGAUUUUUCUUUAUGAGAAAACAACCCACACACAGUAAGGGGGUUACUAAGAACAGGACAUGGAGAAUAUGGAUGACCAAAGAGAAUGGCCUUGGAUGGGGAAAAAACAUAGGGGUCACUACUUCAGACCUUGUAUUAUGUGACCCUUGGCCAUGGUGUCCGAUCUUAUGUAAAUAAUGGUUUAUGUUCGAUGUGGUGAAAGAACCUCCAAUCCUGUGAUUUAGUAUCUCUCUAUAGUGUGUGGGCUAUCCGAUCUUAUUGUUGUUGUGAGAAGUUGGAAAUAUUUUGUCGGAAUUUGGCUUGUUCAAUUGGAUUUUGGAUUUGAAUUGUUGGUUCCAAAUUCAAAAGUGAGAGUUGUGCUCCUGCGAUUUCGUUUUCGAUUACUUUUGUCCCUUGAGAUUUAAGCUUUAAAAUCAAUAUUUAUUUAUUUAUUUUUUGGUGUGAUUGAAAUGGUAAUUGUGUAUGUGAUAAUUUUUCCACAGAAAUGAGGAUUAGUCUAACAAUUCUCGGAGUAUACCUUUUGUUCAAUAAGUAGUGUAAUUAUAGGCAGCAUUGGUUGUGUUUUUAGUUAUGUGUAUUAUUUGAUUAAAGAUGAGCAUUUAAGGUUAUGCUUAACUCAUUUGCAAACGUGAUCAUGCUGUGUAAAUUCAGAAAUGCUUUUUGAGAUAUUUCAUUUUGUCUUGGCAAUGGUUUCAACUGAAACCGGCAAGAAGUGGUUUGACAUCAAUUUUGUGACAAAGUGUCCUUGGUUAUUUCGCCUUGAGUUCAUUGUUAAGAAAACCUAGUUGUACGCGCGUCGUCCCGUGUCCUUGUCUUCGCGUCGUGUGUCAAGUAUCGUGGUUUUUGGUUCAGGACGUACGUACCGUACGUCCAAGUAGUCAGCAGAACGUUUAUCUUGAUAAACGUACGUACCAUGUAAGGACGUACGUACGUAUGGAUAGUCAGCAGGGAAGUUUGCAUUCUGGACGUACGUACCUUUACAGGACGUUCGUACGUCCAAGUAGACAGCAGGCUUAUUUUCGUGUGGAGACUUACGAACGUCAUAUAGACGUACGUACGUCCAAAGUCGGUUUGCACUAUUUUGGCCCACUUUCCUUGGUUUCCAACCCUAAGUAUAAAUAGGGUUUCUCUUCCAAAGAACAAGUCAGUUCUUUGGCCGUCCAUUGUUCUUCUAGUUCUUGAGUUUUGGUUUUAGGUUUUGGUGUUAAAAGUGUGUUUGGCUAUUGAACUCAAUUUCCUUCCUUCCCCCUUCUCUCAAUUCAUAUCUUUGUGAUCUUUCAAGAGUGAUUGUGAUUUCGGCUUCGAGUCUUCUUGUGUGUUCAUCAAGAAGUCGAGUGUCUUGUGCUUACAUCAAGGUGCUCUGGUGAAGUCAAGGUGUUAGAGAUAACCAGGAGUAUCAACUCGCAGUGAGUGCAGGUAGUUGGUAGGUUUGUACAUCUCUUUUCAUCUAGUGGAUUAUUUGUUGUCGCGAGGACAACCGUGGACGUUUUCCUUUUCGGGUUUUACCACGUUAAAAUUUUUUGUGUGUUAUUUACUUUCUGCUUAUAGUUUGAUUGUUUGGUUGAAUAUUCAAUUGUUAUAUUAGCACUAUUUGUAGUUUCUCAUCAACCGCUAAACUUAAUUUCCGUUGGCUGCCGUAACUCAUUAUCAGUUUUGAUCAUAAGCAACGGUAGUGCCACUAACUACUAGAAAAUGACCUAAAUAACUCAGUUCAAUCACAAUGACGAACAGGGUUUAGCUGAUGACAGGUGUCAGAGUCUCACAGACAAAGCUCGGAGGCACUUCUGCUGGUGCUCAAUAUGCUCUUGAAUAGAAAAAGUCUUACAGGCAAAAGUGUUGUGCAUUCCAAGUUGAUGACUACAAUCGUCGUUGAUUUUUUAAUGUACUACAGGAUGUUGAAUUUGUAACACGAUGAAUUGUAGUUUGUUACAACCUUUUUAUGUACUACAGGAUGUUGAAUUUGUAAUACGAUGAAUUGUAGUUUGUUACAACCUAUUUAUGUACUACAGGAUAUUGAAUUUGUAAUACGGUGAAUUGUAGUUUGUUACAACCUAUUUCGUGGAGGACAUAUAUAUUAUUAAAUAUGUUCUUUUUAUUAUGUUUAUAUUGUUGUUUUGGUUUGAAAAAAUGAUUUGUACAAUUUAUUUAAUGGAAUCUCGCUCAAGCUUGUUAUAUGUCUUUUACGUUCAAGCUUGUGUAAUUCUUUGAGUUUAUCAAUAAAAAUUAUUAUUUUGAGAAAAAAAAGUUGUUAAAAAAAAUAGAAAACAGAAAACAGUUUUCUAAUUUUUAAAAUCAAGUGAACACGUUUUCUAAUUUUCCAAAAUUUUCAUUAGAAAAAGAAAACUAGAGAUAGAAAAGAAAAAUGGAAAUGGAAAACUGAAAACAGUUUUCCCCAAGUAAACAGGCCCCAUCUCUUAUCUGUUUUCUUCUCUUCUUCCAUUUCUUCUCUGAAUCUCUCUGCUAUCUGGACUCUGGAGAGAUAUAUAUACUCCUAUCUGUCUGUUCAUGUUACAUGCAUUGAACAGUUGUGAGCACUUGCUUGCUCUCCAAUUUGUUUUCCAACCAUUAUUGAUGUCAUGGGCCCCGUAGUUGGAUUACUUUUGUCGAUCCAUUGAAUGGAAGAAACAACAAGCUCAUCAUUAAUCAACAAAAGUACUAUUAAUCUAUUAUCAUAUUCCAAAGUCAUUUUUUUGUGACCACAUACAAUGGUCUCCUAGUGCUGAUGGGAUGCCUGGUAUUGGUGUUGUCAUUCUAAAUGAUGAUGGUUCUUUCUUAGCAGGAUUAUGCAAGUAGGCAAAAAUAAGCCACCAUAGAUGGUUCUUUGGUGUUAAGGCAAUUGCAAGAUUGAAUAGAUUUUGGUUUUGGUCUUUUGGAAGAGGAUGGUACAAGGUUAAACACAAAUUCCUUUAGAUCCACCAAUAACCAAAGUAGUCAUGCCUCGGAGUCAUGAAUUACUGUAUUUGGCUCUUGUUUUUAUCAUUAUUAUGAAUUGUAUUCUACAUAUGUAUAUGACAAAUCAGCUCAAACAUAUUACAUAUGCAUCAUGUAUGGUUACAUUUACUGUUGAAACUUAACGUUGGUUGGUACUUCAGUUGGGUAAAAUCCGUUCACCAGUAUCCCGCCAUCGACACAAAUUACUUGGCCUGUAAUGUAUGAAGCUGCAGGUAGACAAAAAUAAGCCACCAUAGAUGAAACAUCACUAGGUUCUCCCAGUCUCCUCAAAGGAGUGCGCGACAGAAAACCAUCCAGCAUUUCCGUAGCCUUGAUGCCCUAAAGGACCAACAAGAAAACCAAAGAAAAAAAAUUAAUAAUAGUUUAAUUAGCAUACACCACAUAAUAGCAAGAAAUGGCACAAACAGGAAUAUCAAUAUCUAUCUUUUAAAAUAAUGAAAACGCAAUUAUAGUAGGGCAGGAAAUCGAUCUGUCGUCAAAUUUAAGUUACACUUCUAAGAUUAUGUAAUCCAAUACACGAAAGCAGAGGCUCUUACCUCUUCAACCAUUGGAGUCCUGAUCAGCCCAGGAGCAAUAGUGUUGAUCCGGAUAUUAUCUUUUGCCCACUCACACGCCAAAGUCCUUGUCAAUUGAAUUAAUGCUCCUGAUACAUAUUGUACACAUUCAUUUUGUCCUUGUCAAUUGAUUAUAUAUAUAAUAAUGUGGUAAUUAUAUUGUUGUGGUAAUUGUUGUAUGAAAUGUACCCUUGCUUGCAGCAUAUAUUGUUCCUGAAAAGAAACCGGAUAAACCAGCAACAGAGGAGAUGAAGACAAUGUUUCCAUUGCCAGAGGCCUUCAACAGUGGAUGUGCAAGUUGGCACAAAUGGUAACAUGAUUCAAAGUUUGUAUUCAUCAAAAAAGAAAAGUCUUCUGCUGUGUAUUCAGUGGUUGGUUUCAAUAUACUUGUUCCUACAUUGCUUACCUGCGUCACACCAAGAAAAAGAUUAUGUAAUGUCGCAUAAAACCGUCUUGGACACCUUUAUGUAAAAUAAUGUUGGAUGCCAUGAAAAAUAAACAUCUACUGUUUCAUAAAUGUAGAACCAGUAAGAAAACACUUACAAAAAUAUUGAGUUUCCCAUUGAAGAUGGACGAGACGUCUUCCAUGAGUUUUUCUCGUUGCUGUCGCACAGAUAUGUCACAGACUGAACCUGUGACUCGAAAUCCUAACUCUUUCCACUCUUCUAUAACUUGGUUGAGUUGAGUUUCACUGCGAGCACAGGUGUACACUGAGGCACCCAAACUGGCCAACUCCUCCACUAUAGCAUGCCUACAUAAAAAAAUGGAAGUUUGUUAGAUUUUUUUUUACUGUUUACCAGCUGCAGGGUACAUCAGGACAGAGUUUAGGAGCUGUUCAAGAUGGGAGAUGAGAUGGUAACUGCUAGUACAUAGGGAAGAGGGAUCCAGACACGCGUAAGCUGACAGGCCGGGUGUAUGCCGAGUUCAAAACUGAAUAGCUGAUGCUGCUGCAGCUGCAAGGCGUGCUGGUAUCUAGGGUAAUUAGUAAUGUAUUAUGGGGAGUCUGUUCGGUUGUGAUGUUCUUGAGAGGGCAUGUCCUCUCUAGUCCUUUUAAGCUGACAGUGCACAUUGAACUGGCUAGCUUGGAACAUGUUCUUGAGAGACUACUAAAAAAAUAGACGAUAAAACUAAGAACGAGAGAAUAUACCCAAUUCCUUUAGAUCCACCGGUGACCAAGGCAGUCAUCCCUUGUAGAGACCAUCUCUUGUUAGUGUUCUUUUCUUCCAUUUUUCUGCUCUUACAGUUAGAAUUGUGUGUCUCUACCUAUAGGCACUUAUGUGUUUUUAUACUAAAAUGCUGUUGAUUUUCAACAUAUUCUGUGAUAUUUAGAUGCGACACGACACGACUCAUGUGAAAGAUUUUUUUUUAUUUCCCUCUUUUUCUUCAAAAUUAAAUGAUAAUUGCCAGCCACUUUGAGUCAACAAAUGACGUACUUUGUGCUUAAAUCAUUCACUCUUGUUUGGAUCUGGUUGGAAACCUAAACAUGUAUACCCAUUAACCAUUCAGGUUCAACCUGUAUCUUAAUUUGUAAUUGUUCAUACAUUUAAGAUUGCAUGGCAGUACGUGCGAGCAGCAGUCGACACAGCAAGACUAAUCCAAAAGGCAGUUUAGGUAGAGCCUAUUACAAGAACAAUUGUUAUAAAUUGGACACCAACUUCAUAUGUGGAUAUAAGCAAAUUAAAAGACAAUAUUCAACGAAAGAAGGUUUCAUUUUCUUGACACUUAACUAGAGAAAGGGGUGUUUGCAAAGACUAAUAGGGUUGACAGUGGCAGCUUCGAUUGAUUUCUUGUUUAAUUACUUGUGGAACUUCCAUAGCAGCAAAAACGUAUCGUAUAGUUAUGGGUGGUGCCAGGAAUUUUCCUUCGAGACAUGAUAGCGAUCAUGAGGAAGACUAUAUAACGCAAAAAAUUUAAAAGGUAUAUAUGCUGAAACUUUGAAUGUGGUGCCAGGAAUUUUCCACCAAGACAUGAUAGAGAUCAUGAGGGUGACUAUAUUACCCAGGAAAAUUAUAAGGUACGCUGAAACUUUGAAUGUUCUAUAGGCUUGAAUAGUUGUUAUUUCAAAAUUUAAGGAACAAGGCAUGAACGACCUGCUAGAGCACCCGUGACUCAACACUUCCUUAUUAUAGUCUAUCUAUAUAUCCUUAUAGUCUGCAAUUGAAGAUGGACGAGACGUCUUCCAUGAGUUACAAUAAGAAAACACUUACAAAAAUAUUGAGAUUCCUAUUGAAGAUGGACGAGACGUCUUUUUCGUUGCUCUCGCACAGAUAUGUCAGACUGACCCUGUGACUCGAAAUCCUAACUCUUGCCACUCCUCUAUGACUUGGUUGAGUUGAGUUUCACUGGGAGCAUAGGUGUGCACUGAGCCACCCAAACUGGCCAACUCCUUCACUAUAGCAUGCCUACAUAAAAAAAACAAAUUGAUAUCAAGAAGGAUCACAGAAUGCAGAACUACCUACAUAUUCGAGCUCCAUCAAGCUCACUUAAUGAGCAUUCACCACUUUGCCUUUAUAAACCACCUGGGGGCUUGACCUCAAUCGAGCUAAGCCUUAUUUCAUCCAACCUCAUUCGAGCUCAAUAGAUUUCACUCCUACUUAAUGCAAGCAUAUUCACCUAAAUCUACUUGAAACGAGGUGAACCUAUUUUCAUCCGAGCUCACUCGAGCUGCAACGUAUUUUACUCGAGUUCACGAACCUUAACUUAACCGACCUCUCCUGAGCUCGGUUAUUACACUUGAUACUAUAUCACAUUUACUUUGUAACGUUCAACUCAUUAAUAAUCAGACCGUUACCACAUUUAUUAUAUACUAGUCGUUGUCCCAAAUCUCCUAUAUAAACGAACUACGUAGGCUUGAUUUUGGGACUUGCUCAUUUUCAUAUACGUAGGCAACUAUCACUUGUGAUAGCUCAACCACUUCUUCUCCACAAAUCCUUUCUUCUCCAAUUACUUCCCGACCACAUUUAGCUUGACUACAAUUACGCUGUUAAUGAAACUAUGUAAAUAUACGCACUUCGCGCAUAUAUGAUAUAUAUAUAUAUAUAUAUAUAUAUACUAGUUGUACCCGUUGCUUCGCAACGCUAGUUUCAACAUUUUGUCUAUCAUUUGUUUUAAAUUUUGUAAUUCUUUUGUACAUAAUUUCGUUGCUUCGCAACGCUAGUUUCAACAUUUUGUCUAUCAUUUGUUUUAAAAUUUUGUAAUUCUUUUGUACAUAAUUUAUUAAUUGUGAACAAGUUCAGUUACUUACUUAUCACCAUUCGAUUUUAAAUGAUUAGAUAAGUGGCGUAUUGACUAUAUUCAACAUAUUAAAUGAAUAAUACAGUAUCAUAAGAUCAGUUGGUAAACUAUUUGUAGAGUACAAAAAGCAACGAGAGUUUGCAACAGUUGAGCAAAAUGCAAUAAUAGUGUGUUAAAUUUGUAAAUUUUGGUUUAAUUUUUGAAAACUUUGAAUAACAUUGAUCUAUCGACUUAAGUUAACCUCCAUAAUCGGGGGAUGUUAUUGUAGUUCUGCCACCGUACAUCCAAACCAAGUUGUAGAUGGCAUUAUGAUGAAAGGCAUGUUGCUAGCUAGGGUGGCAGAUUAUAUAAUCAAUUGAAAUAUGGUUAAAAUAUAAGCUACCACCUUAGCUAAUCUGUGUUGUGCUAGUUCCACGAAUAAGGUGGUAGAUUAUAUUUAAAAUAAUCUAGCAACAACAAUAGGAAUAGAUACAUGAACCAGAAAAGCAAAGAACCAGUUAUCCCCUUAAGCCAGUGAUCACCUCCACCAAAUGAAGGAACAUCUCCUGAUACCUAUGAUUUCUCCUACCUUCCCAAACUCCUAACCAAUACCAUAUGGUUCCCUUAAUCUGGUUGCAGGUUUGAUUGAUAGUCUGAGUCUCUUGACAAAAGAUUCUGCAAUUCCCCUUUUUCCAAAAGGAUCCAGAUUGUGGCAUAUGGAAGGAGGUCCCAUACCUUCUAUCCAAACAGUGUAGAUGGUCCUGGUGGCCAAGUUAUGAGCCACUCCUCCAAAUUUUCAACUGUGAAAAGAUCAAAAUAAACAUCUCUUUGGCUGGAGGACAACGUCCUAGAUUUCUAAUGAUCGUGAACAAUGGCAAAUUGACUAUAUAUUCAACACAUUAAAUGAAUAAUAUUGCAUGUCCAGGUUAUAGACUACAUCUGUGCUGUGGAACAGCUAGGAGAGUUUAUAACAGUUUUGAGUAAAAUGCAUUGAUAAUAUUGUUUUAGAUUUGUAAAUCUUGUAUAACUUUGAUCUACAAACUUAAAUUAACCUUGGUUCUUUUCAUAGACAGGUGUAAUAUUAACUGUAUUAUAAACACCAAGUGAAUGAACUUUUUUGGUAAAAGCUUGGCAUUAGGAAAAAAAACUCUCCUCCUAAGUUAUUAAAAGAGAUACGAGAAGUAUUAAGUCUGAACAAUAAAAUUUAAAGUCUGAACAUCAAAUAACAAUCUCUGUUGUAAACAAAACAAUAUCCACAAUAUUUAUAUACAAUAUCCACAGUAUUUGCCAGAAACUUUUCAUUUAUUUCUUCUUCAUUCCCUUGUUUGAGACAUAAUGACUUACCGCGCGCACACACACAAAACAACUAAACUUUAACAGUACACGCUUAUACAUGUCCUAGAAGUUUACCGACGGACCACAUAUGUAAAUGUUGUAGGAUACUUUGCACUUCAGGAGGACAAACUGUUCAACAAAAUUAUCCAAAUACUCAUCUUUAAAGAUGAAGUGCAAUUCUGCAGCAACUUCCUCGGUGUGAAGAGCUGCUCAAUCCCAACUUCUACAGCAACUACUUCCAACUNNNNNNNNNNNNNNNNNNNNNNNNNNNNNNNNNNNNNNNNNNNNNNNNNNNNNNNNNNNNNNNNNNNNNNNNNNNNNNNNNNNNNNNNNNNNNNNNNNNNUGAGGUGCUGAAUCCCAUCUUUUACAGGCAUUACGCAUAAUUUGCAGACAAGAUAGUGAUCUUGUCCUCCAUAUGUUGGUCAUUGGAUUUUGUAUACUCUUGAGUAAUGAAUUCUUUCUCUUAUUUGUAAUAUUUUCAGGGAGGUUUAUCGGAUCAAUGCAGUCAAUAAGCUGAAUCACACGUGCUUAUAUGAUGGUCAGUUGAAUGCUAUGUUGGUUCAAUACAAAGUCAACACAGAGGAGGAACUGGGGAUUGCAAUGGCACCUUCAAACCAAAGCUAUACCAUAUAAAAUAUAAAACCCAAGAAACUGAAAUUAAAUGUAAUGGGACAAACUAUGUCUACAGAGAAAAUACGCUUAGUUUGGUUGAUUAGUAGAGUAAGAUUUUGAUGGUCUUUUUUAUUCAAAGCAUAAAACUAAUCAUACAUAAAAAGUCUACGCUACGCAUGCAUGGGUGUGAAAUUUGUAUAAAUGAAAAUUACCUAAGAAGCAGCGGUGGUACAGGAAGAGAGAAAUGGAGACUGAGAUUGAUAAUGGGGAGCGUAGAUAUCGUCUUUCAUUCUUCUCCUGUCAUAAAUCAGUGAAUAGACAGAAUUUUUUACUGUAUUCCUGAUAAUUGAAAUUCUGAAGUUGUUUUGCAAACAUUUAGAAAUAUGAAGUGCAAUAAAAAAGAAUCAUAAUUUAUAAAACUGAUCAAGUGGGAAUGCGUUUGCAAUGUCAAGUGUGCGUGAAUUAUAAGAACCACAUCAUAAUUUGCGAAUAUUAAAAAUAAUGUCAGAUUCUCUACUACUGAGAACAAAAUAUGGGUCGUACCUAUUACCUAAUACCCAAAUAUUGUUUGCUGGCAAUGAAAAAAAAAGUAAGAGAAAUAUAUCUAUUGUGAAGAUUAGGAAUUCACAUUGUCAGAAUAAUAUGAUAUUGUAGGAAUGUACUUGAUAAAAAGCAAUAAAGGGAAAUAAAUUAUAACCAAUUUUACCCAGGUUCCCCAAAGGACAUCUAUCAAUAAAGGGAAAUAAGUUUUACCCCGUUCUACCCAGGUUCCCCAAAGAUGGACAUCUAUCAUGUAUGUUUCCAAUAUUGCCGUACAAAUUUUUGAGCAGAAGAUUAGUUUCAAAAAGCUAUUUGUAAAUGAUCUAUGCGGGAACCUUCCUCUUUGGAAAUCUUACACAACGAAAAUCCUAUCCAUCGAUUGGGGGACUUGCACCGUUAGAAGAAAUAUAUGGAGGUGUGGGCUUUUGCAUGAGCACAUUACAGCUCUCCUUCGAAUCUUUUCAAAUAAGCUAUUCACAAUAAGCAUUGUUGUUUGGUUGGAUACCUUAUUUGUUCCAGACAGUUAUUGCAUGAUGACUAAUUUUUCAGAGCUGCCUCCAGGGAAUGCCAACUUGACAGUAUCUUCGUUAUCUCGCAUAACACCACCAAACCCCUAACCUUUUGAGCCAACUGCACCAUCAUCAUUUGGUUUAAUGACCCCAAAAGUUGUCCCCUCCCAAGAGGAUCAAUUGAUCACUUGUAGAAUCCUAGUUGUCCGGAAAUUUGGCAGGAACGCAACUCAUGCAUCCCACUCCUGUCAGCCAGUUGUUGUGCCUUCAUCCUCUUGUUGUUGUUGUCCAUAGCCUGGAGUCCAAUAAUAUUAUAUAUAUAUAUAUAUAUAUAUACACACACACAACAGGGAUUAAUUUUAGUUCAAUAUGCAUGUGAGUUGUCUACGUUAAUAGGUUAUACACCUUAAAGUAUUUAACAAAUAAAUUUUCAGGCUACAUUCAUCUCCUAGGGCAGGAAGCACAUGUACCUGACUGCUUUUUGAAGAUGUCUGUAAGCCAAUGAGCUGGUUGUAUAUGAAUUCACCAUAUGAGACAAUGUAGUCCUUAGCAUGCAUCCCACCAACACGCUCUUAGUUCGACUCCUCGAAUGGGCUACCCCAGUGAGCAAUUCAUCAAGGCUUAUAUCAAGGUUUGUUCCAGAAGAUUUGAAAAACUUCUUGUUGACCUGAAAAAAAUGCAUUUUAAAGCAGUUCAUCAAAACCUUAAUAUAGAUCCUGAUUUAUGUAUGGAAGGGAAGUAAAUGCCUUACUAAAAUAUUGCACACAGAUACAGAUCACCAAUUUCAUACAACAUUGAUUCAAGCAAUAGGUGAACAUAAAGAAACAUGUCAUUCAAGCAUUUUAUUGACCAUAGAUACAAUCAUGGGCAUGCAUAUAAAGUUAGGUAUGUAAGUAAGAUCAAUUCUCUAUAAUCCACCAAGAAUAUUAAGAAGAAGAAAAAAAAAAACUUACCUGAGAUGUGGUAGGGAAUAGGUGGAGUCUUAAAUAAAAUGUUGAUUUUUUGGCUUAAAGUUUUAAGUCUCCCACUUCUGAUUCUUGACAUAAUUGCAGGUUGAAAACUGAAUGAUGAGUUGAUUGGACUGAAGUGUCUUACAGAGAAGCUUGCUAUUUAAAAUCUUGAAAUUGUGAAGAGUGGUACAGACAAACUUAAAGGAAAAAUUCAAACUUUAAAUAAUUGAAACUUGUCUAGAAUGAACAAGAAAUAGAAGGGGGCGGAGAAGAAACUCAUGUUGAUGUCCUAGAGACUCUGAAACCAAUUUAAUAUCUGAAAGGCUUGUCUAUAGAUGGCUAUAAGGCAACUGGUUUCCUGGAUGAUUUAUGACAGACGCACCACUGUUCACCAAUUUGCUGAAGGUCUCUUUUAUUAAAAUGGGUGGAAAAUGCGACCAUCUCUCUCUUUUUGGUGAUUUGGUGAACCUCAUUUGGUUUUACAAUGUAUUUCUUAUUAUGACUCUUACAAUACUAAUGCUUUGAUAAAGACUAAUUGCAGAGAUUAAGUUCUCAAAAACUAUUACAAAAUGUUGGGAAAAACAAUAUUGAGUUCUUAAAAUUAAAUAAGAUGAUAUUUAAUGCUCUAACGCUCACACCGGAUAUGAAUCAAACUGUGUCACAAUGUUUUUGGAAUAGAUUUAAAUUAAAUAAGUAAAACUUACAUUAGUUAAAUUACAAAAUUUAGCAUUGAUUGUGCUCGUUCCUUUUCUAUUUUUAUGCGUUGACCUAGUUUUGCCUUACUUAUCUCUUCAGUUCCAUUUGACAAAUUCGAUUCCAAUGACUUUGUUUGAGAAGUUGUAUCACUGCCAUAGAGGUAACAUUAUAAACAUCAAUAUUUUAUAUUAUAAAUAAUAAAAAUUAUUGUUCAUGUAAUUACAUAAAAUUAAAAAACUUACAUAGGUUCAAUUAUUGAAUUUAGCAUCGAUUGUGCUCAUUCUCUUUCCCUUCUUAAAUGUUGUCCUUGCUUUGCCUUACUUAUCUCUUCACUGUAGGUUGAAGAAGUUUUAACACUUUUGACAGGUAAUUCUUUCUUUGCCAUGACUGUGUUCCAGGUACUAAACAAAACAUAAUGAACAAUUAUUCACAAAUUACUAACAACAAUAUUAUGGUAGGUUUACUAUGCAAUUUUUCAUAUGAAGAUGGUACAUAAGCAAAAGUAAUGUCAAUGGAAAAAUUAUUGUGAUUUGAUAUUAAAAAAAAUUUGGUUAACUGGUCAUACUUCAAUCGCAUGCCCUGCUUGUGGACUAUUUACAAUUCAAGGUAGAGUGCAGUGACAGUUGCACUUCUUUUGUAACCAUGCCCUUUAACCUAAGGUCAAUAAUGCUCUACUUUCAUAUUUAAAGCACACAUUGAGCCUAUAGGAAAAAAAAAAUAAGGUGGCAGACCUGCCUGAACAUCGUGAUAUACACCUCUUGGAUCAAGUAUAGAGUAGAAAUGUGCAAGAAAAGAAUAAAAUAGAAUAGGCAAAGUAUCAUUAUAGAGAGAUUCACAAUGACAAUAAUAAUUGAGCUAACAAUACAUGGUAAUAGCAAGGAAAGAAGCUAGGUUGAAAUAUUCAAAUAAGUAUUCUUUGCUUAUUGGGUUUUUUUGUUUUUUUUUUAGUUUAAGCAGCAAGUACUGGUCCAGGGCAAUCUAUCUGCCGCUUUGAAUGUAAUAACAUCAUAAUUUUGAAAGUCUAGAGAGAGUUUAAAAUUUUAAUUUGAGGCUGAAAUAUAUAAGGCAGUGUAACCUAGAGUAAUCACAUAGGUGUAUUAUUCUUCAAUAGGGUUUUGAAUGAGUCUCAUUAAUAAAUACAUUCUGAUAAUCAGUCUCCAUAUUAUAAAUGGUGAUCUUAUGAGAAAUCACUUCAAAUAUGUGAAUAUGUGCAAUCAGUGAACAUGUAAUAGACAGAAAAGCAAUCAAUAUGUAAUAGCAAGUGGUGAUCUCAGGCAGUUCAUCAUAUUUUUCAGAUAUAUGGGCGACGCCAAGUUUUCUCUGAACUUGUAGUAACCUCUUAAGGUUUUCUCGAACAACGUAUUGGUGAGCUCUUAUAUAUUCUGACACCAUUAAUACAAUAUGACCAAGAGAUAUCUUCAAAUUUAGGUUUGAACAAAGAGCAUUCAAAUAAAGGAUUCGAUUAACUAAAUAGGUGCAGACCUUAAUCAGCAAGUUUGUUACUAUAAAUGGCGCAUGUACUCCAUUCUUUGGGUGCGGGGUCCAAAAUGCCUGCAACAGCAAAACCAUAAUCUUAAUCCGAAUGUAGUUAGGCAUAAGCCUAAAAAUAUAGUAGUCAUUAAGUAACAUCGAUUGUAAAAAAAGGUCUCAAAAAAUUAAAAAUGUCUGUGAAAUCCCAAUUCGUGAACACACACAAUUUACACAUAUUUCUGUAAAAAUCAAAUUUUGCAUAUCUAGGUUUUAAUUACUUUAUGCGAGUUAGUCAGUUCAAAACCCAAGCAAUGGAGAUGGUGUUUUAUCAAUACAUCAAAUAUAACUGAACUAACAACAUGGAUUUCUCCAUACCAUGAAACCAUCUUUAUCAGUUCGAUUAUCUCUAAUUUCAAAGGAAUGACAACAGGGAUAUAUACAUAUCUGCUAUAUUGAGGAAAGUGAGAUGUUGUGCUACUAAAAAGAAUCAUCAUUUUACAGUUAAGCUACCCAUUCAAAACAUAUGCUACAUAUUGGUGAGGAAAAAAAAAGUGUCAUUGUCAUUCUUUUAAUACAAAUGCGACAAAACUGAAUGUUACUAUAGUACUACCAAAAACACCGAGUUACUGAAAUUUCAAAAUACCAAAGUUUACUUGGUAAUGAUGUUAGUAAUACGUUUUGUACUGUAGUGAAAUAGUGCAAUAGAAAUUAAUUAUAUUAACCUUCAUCUAACACAAUUUAGAGGGGUUUAAAAGGUUUAAGAGGCUAGCUGAAGCUUACUAUAAACAAUAAAAUGUUGUUAAUAAAGAGGCUGAGUGUUGGACUGCUGGCUCGAAUGGACAACGUUUGGAGUUGUACUUAUGUCCAAAAGUCCAGCCGGCCAUGCCCCUGGUUGGUGCACCAAAAGUACCAGAGUCUGAAUCUUACUUAGAGUGGGAAUAGAAGGGUGUAUUGAGAAAGAUCAGAGAUUAGUUAUGUUUGGUUGAGAUUCACUCCAAUUUAAAGGUGGCAGUCCCCUACAACAAUUGAUGGCCUUGCUAACCUUUGUGUUAAUAUAUGGUUUUAAAGUACAGGUCUUCCUAUUUUAUGGUGCAUGUUAUUUCAAUAGAUAAAGGUGGAAAAGUUUAAAAUAGAAAGGAUACGUGAAAAUAGGCGACGUCAGCCAAUACUUUCUCUUCCAUUUAUGAAAUUAUUUUGCAAAAAAAAAAAAAAAAAAAGACUGAUUUAUUAAUCACUCUAUGACAGUUUGUAUUCCUUAUGUUGACAAUACUAUUAAUCACAGUAUGACUAAAAUGACCAAAACAGUCGCUAAAACACACACACAUGGUCAUGCCCUUCUGAUAAUGCAUUGUAGAACCCUAAACCCUAAACAAAAAUAUUAAAAAAGCAGAUAUUUGCAGAGAAGAUGAGAAUUUGCUGAAAGGCAAAAUCAUUAUAAAUCAAAUUGUUAUUCUCAUAAAAUCAGAUUCAUAAUAAAUCAAAUCAAAUCCAUAUCAUAAUAAAAUGACUAAAAUUGAUAACAAUUCAGGAAAAAAACCUUUUGAGUGACUAAAUUUGACAUACCUUUUGAACGAUUAUGAGAGAAAGAGGCGAUAUUGAGAGAGACAAGGAAUCUGUGAUCAAUAACAACACACUAAUUAAAUCAAAUUGAACAAACAAUAACAAAAAAAGAGUCUUACAGAGAUUAAUUGAAUGUUGAUUUUAAUUUUUUCUAUGCCGAGAGAGAGAGAGAGAGAGAGAGAGAGAGAGAGAGAAAGGAGAGAAUUAAACCCUAAUAAGCCAUUUUGCAUUUAGUCAGCGGAAUCAUUUAGCCAGAAAGAAAAAUGAACUAAAGAUAUGUAAAGGGGGAUGUUGAGACAGAGUUGAAGAUAAGGACCGAGACCAGAAAACCAACUAAAGUCUAGAACAUAAGCUAAAGUUUAUUACUUCGAUCUCUAUGAUUAACGUGAACAAACAAAAAGCACAUAGCUUUUGAGGGAGAGCAAUGAUAAUGAUGAAAUAUCCUGUUAAGAGCAAAGAGAGAGAGAGCAGAGCAGAGAGAGAGAGAGAGAAGAAGAAGAAGAAAUUGAUGAAUUUGAACAAACAAACACUGAAAUAUUAAACAAAAGAUCAACUUUCUGUCCAAUCUAAUUACCAGAAACCAUAUGUGGCUAAUAGAAACAGAAAAUUUGAAAGCUUAACCUUAUCAAAAAUCAAAAAUUAAAAUUUCAAAACUAAACACCAUGAUCUAGUAUUGAGUGAUGUAAACUGACCUGUUGAAGCCGAAGCGCAAUAGAUCGCAACAGAUAGUGGAGAAUAUUAAUGCAAACUGACCUGUAGAAGCAACAACAAUACAUAGUUAAAAUUAACUUAGGGCGAGUAUUAUAACAUAGGUUAGGAUCCCUAAUAAGCCUCUCUUUGACAUAAUGACAUGCCUUUCACAAGCAAAGAUCUGAAUUCUCAUCUAUUUGACCAGCAAAGUAAUAGGAAGAAAAUCUAGACUACAAAUACUACAGACUUAUGUGCUAUCCGCUAUCUCUGAAAAACCGAUACUCAAAAUUGGUGGCACCCCAAUAUCAAAAAAGCCAAAUGGCAUUCCUACAAGCUCGUUUCGGAUAUGGCAAAUGACACACCUAUAUAUCACUUUUUAGAUUGCAUGCUAAUAACUGAAGAAAAUGAAAUAAUAUUCAGUUGCAAAAUACUUGCCAAACCACUAUCUUUGUUUUAUAAGGUGUCCAUAUCAUAUCCAGUAUAGGUGCUUCAUUGGGGGGAUUGAAAUGAAGAACAUUCUAUUGAAAAAUGCCAUAUCUUAAAGAUAAUAAAAUGAUAUCUAGAGUUUUCUAGAGUAAAAGAUCCAUUUCAGGUGAUAGAAUCAAGCGAAGAGGAUAACACAAAAAUUGGAUAAGAUUGUACUAAUACGUGAUUGAGAAUAUUUGGUAUUUUAUAUGGGAUGAUAUGUAGAUACAAGUGACUUCAGCAGAUCUGAUAAUUAACACAGCAAAUGGCAUUAUUCAAUCCAAGGUUAUUGUCACAUGUUUCUACAUGAUUUCUAAUCAGAAUAAUAGUAGGGUAUAUGCAUCAGCAAGUGGCUUUAACUAUAUAUAUGAAGUUUACUUGGGGAUUAAAAUUUUCUCUCUCAGUGUAACUGUGUAAGCUUCCCAAUUUUCUAAUCAUUUUUAAAACAUGGAUAACCACCUAUAAAUUGAACUAAGGACAAGAACCUACAGGAUAACUAAUAUGAAAGAGACCAAAAUGACCAGCACAUACAAUGCAUUCAAGCACAUGGACACAACCCAGGCAAUAUGUUAGGUAGGAAAAACGGGAAUAGUAAAUAACUGAUAAUGAAACGGGAAAAGGCCCAUAUCACAGAAAAGUGAACCUGCACACCACCUGCACAGUGGAAAAUGGGCUGUAAGAUUUUUUAACGAAUGGGUUGAUUUUUCCCGUUUCUUCUGAACAGUAAUGUGAUAAGAAUAAAUAUAGAAAGAGAAAGGGCACAAACCAGACAAUGCUCAUCAAAUCAAUAGUGAUAUCCUCCUUCCUGCUGCUGUUGUGGGUCAUAGUACUCGCCACCAUAUUGUGCAAACUCAUUGUCAUUAUUAUUGUCCGUAGCAUGACUAUCUCUAUUAUCAGAUCCUGCUUGUUCACGUUCCCUGUUCCAUUGCUCAAUCUUUGCUCUCCUCUCAGCACUACCUUCCCUCUCAGGACUUCUGUUCCUCCGUCCACCAGGGCUAGUGCUUCGUCCCCUCCGACGCCUGGCGCGAUCAUCAUGGUAGUGGUGGUCUCUCUCAUCAUAUUUUCUGUCACGAAGGCUGCCAUGUGAUCGCUCCUCAUAGCUGUGAUGCCUGUAGGGGCUUCGGCUUCUACUUCGGCUGCGACUAUGUCGUCGACGGUAUCUUCCAAACAAAUGCCGCCUCAAAUCCCUGUUAAUGGAACAUAAACAAAUGCCUUAUUCACAGGCCAAGGGUAACAAGUGUCAUAAAACAUACGGGUGACCAACUUUUUUUACCUGCUAAUCAUUUUCAGAUGCAUAAAGUUGCAGUAGCCUCCACGAUUGCACGUAUUCUCCUCAUACUGCCUACAUGUUGCCUCGCGGAAAUCAGUGACAGGAGAGAAAUCAACAAUAAUUGGCCGUCCUGAAACAUAAGAAAGAGUUUGAAAUGAGGACCAAAAUAUAACUGAGACAAAGAUUAGCAGCUAGUAAUAGUAUUUUCUCAAUUAACAUCAAAACAAGGAUAGUAUGGCAGAAGCUAUUGUGAUAAUAGCUGCUAUAAAAAGAUUUCAAACUAUAACAAAUUAAUAAAUUGAUGGAGAUCAAAAGCUUCCUCUAAAAUAAAGUGUGCAGAUAAAUUGAAAUAAAUGAGGAAAAGACCAACCUGCAUAAAAUCUUCCAGUCAGGUUUCGAAGUGCAUUGCUGCAGGUUGUAGUACUUUCCCAACUGAAAUUACAUCCCAUUUAAAACCAAUUUGAUACAUCGGGGAAAUGUUCCAAAUCCUAUGAUAAAGACAGAUAAUCUAGGAACAGAACACUUCUAUACAUUAGUAUAUUACAAGUAAAUUAUUUUACAUGGCAUUGGAUAUGUGCGACAGGGGCGAGUGCGGGACAACAAUAUAUGCAUAACAAUAUAUGCAUUUGAUAGGUAAACAAAUAUCAAACAAUUACGAAAGGCAUUUGAUAGGUAAACAAAUAUCAAACAAUUAUGAAAGGGGCAUGAAUUACCAUGUGAUCAGCCAAGUUGUCGCAGAUGUUAAGACUUUCAAUCUCUCUCCAUAUUUGCUCAAUUCCUCAAACAAAUCUUCAUAGAAAUCCUGCAAUUUCAGGACAAUUAACAAACACCAUUCAAUUGAAAUACCAAAAUUUUCAAUUAGACAAUUAUAUAAGGUGAAGAAGAAGAAGAGAACAAACCUCAAAGUGUUCUUGAAUCUUACGUGGAUCCAUAGCAUGACCUUGAAGAUCCACUCCAGGAGUGAUCAUAUCAGGUCUUUGACACAUGUUAGACAAAAGAAGAGUUGGGCUAAUACUUGGCUUCGUGCUUCGUGUGAAGUCUAGAACAUCGAUCACCAUGUCUACAUGCUCCAAUUUUGAAGUAAAAAGGACAAUUCACUCUAUCUUUUUCUGUACCAAAGAUCGAAGCUAAAGUGUUCAGCCAUUGUUAUUAAAUCCAAAUCUCUCUCUCGAUCAAAUGUUUGUUAUUAAGAGGGUGUUUAAUUAGGGUUUAAUCUCUGUUGUCCAUCUAAAAUCAGACGGUCCAAAAUAUCUCCCAAAAUUGUCUUUUUUGUAGAUGUCUAAUCUCUGUCGUCCAUCUAAAAUCAGACGGUCCAAAAUAUCUCUCAAAAUUGUCUUUUAUAAACUGUCUCCCCAACUUAUGUACCCUUUGUGUCUUAUAACUUAGAUAUAUAUAUAUAUAUAUAUAUAUAUAUAAGAGAGAGAGAGAGAUUAUGCAUAGUAGAUACUCAGCCCACAAGCCAACCCACCCUCUCGAGUCCUUUUCUCUAUUUCUUAAAAUAAAUCUUAGGGGCCAAAAUUAGAUGGGCCUCCAUAUGAAUUAUAUGAAAUUUUACAUGGUGGGACACAGUAGGAAAGUUGAGAGUCAUAGGGGUUAUUUAUGGUUUUAGUGAAAUAAGUAGAAACAGGCUACAUAAGUACAGUAUUUGUAUAUAGUUAAUAGGACACGUGGCAAAAAUAAUGAAUUAAGUACGUACGGUGACGUUAUCCGACCUGCUCUUUUUUUCUUUUUUAUAGUAGUAGUUUAAAGGGUAAUUUCCCGAAUAAGUACAACAUUAUGCAGAUCCUUCCCAAAUAAGUAACAAGUAUAAAAACUUUCCCAAACAAGCACAAAGAUUCUCUUUAAAAAGUUUUUUUUGUUUUUUAGCUAAUUUUUCUUCCGAUAUUACCCUUAGUACUUAAAUAAUAGUUUUUGUUUUAUUUUUUUGUUUGAAUGACCGAUGUGACAUGUGAGAAAAAUAUUCUUCUUUAAAUAAGGACCAUUGGAUUUGUAUGAUGAACUGUGACCGUUGGAUCUAGAGUUUAGUUGGGCUAAUAUGUAAGAAAACCGAAAUUAUCUGCUAAUCUGCUAAUCAGAUACACGUGGCAGAAGUUUAACAGGUAACAAAGAGGCGGGCUUUUAGUUGGGGAAAAAUUAAAAUUAGGGAUUUCAAUUUCAAUUUCGGUUAGCAAACAGCUUCUCUCUCAUCUUCUUCUUCUUCCUCAACCGGCGCAACUGUUCCUCUCAUCUUCUUCUUCUUCCUCAACCGGCGCAACUGUUCCUCUCAUCUUCUUCUUCUUCUUCUCCAUUCUCAAAGUUCUAAUUUGAUAAAACAUGAAGGAAAUUAAAAAGCAGCAGCAGCAAACUAGAGAUGAUGAAAUCGAAAAAGGUAGGCGAUUUACUCUCACAGUUAGGUGUUCAACAACUAAAUUUUUUGAACACUUUCAACAUCCAAGUGAUAAAAUUCCACCGGAAGAGUUAGAAUCAUUUAGAAGUUCACCCUUCGGUCAAUUUCUCGAUUUCAAUUCCGAACAUUUUCACAUGAUAACAUCAGUUAUCACAGAAAUUGUGAGAUGUAGAGUAGGUAGGUUAAAGUAUGGUAUUGGAGGAAGAGUUGUCGAGUUCAAAAUGUCAGAUGUGGCCAUGAUCUUAGGCCCUUUAAAGUUUGGAAAUGUUCCAGUUGAUUUUCUGAUGAGGAAGCCGAAAGACUACACUACAUUCAGGAGCAAGUACUUCGGUACAAACCUUCACAUAAAGGAUGAGCAGAUUUCAAGUGCAAUUACUGAAGCAAGGAGAUUAAUUGCUAAGGGAGAAGCUGAUCCAAACGAUGUUCAUCGUUUGAACAGGUUGUAUUUUCUGUGCAUUUUUCUUCUUGCCGAGUCAUCAAAAAAUUUGAGUGUAAAGUACAUUGAUUUAGCCGAAGAUUUGAAUGCAUUUGAUAAUUUUCCAUGGGGUACUGUUGCUUUUCAAUUGCUUGAGACUUCUCUUGAAGAAAUUUAUCCCAAAGUCAUUGAGGAUAAUCCUAGUUAUUGCAUCAAUGGAUGUAUGUUAGCUUUUAUGAUUUGGGCAUACUUGCACUUCCCUGAUUUGGGUCCUAGGAGAGAUAGAAGUGCUGGAUUUCCAUGGAUGCUUGGAUGGUCUGAGUUGCUCAACAGGAACAAAACUAGGAAUAAAAUUUGUUUGAGGCUGUUUCCCAAGAAAGGUAAAUGUACUGUGGCAUAUCCAUUAGAUGUCACCCAGGAGGAAAGAGAUCUUGCUAAUCUACAACAGGUUGCAGAGGUAAAUCCCCUUGAAUUUUGUUUUUAUCUUCUACAAAACAAUGAAUCCCCUUUCUGUAUUAAGUUGAUCUGUUAUAUUGUACAAUCUAUUUUCUAGAAUGCAACUCUUAUCUGCUACAUUUUAUUUGAAGUUUGAAGCUCAAUACAAAGCAGAACAUGAAGAGUCUGCUUCCUCUAGGCCAUCUGUGCCUACCAUUCCGUCUUAUCACACAUCUUCAACAAGAAGUGGUGGAGGUUCAGAUUUGCUUUCAAUGGACAAGGAUUUUCUUGAGACAAUUCUGAGUGGAGUAGUGAAGGCAUGCAUGACUCAGAAGGUAUGUUGUUUGGUAAAACAUGAUUUUCCAUUUUAAUGUAUCUGCUAUAUGACUCUAUCGUAUCUGCUACUUUUGUGUUAUAUCUGUUACCUCUAUAAUGUUGUCUGCUACAAUGUUUUGUACUCAUUUCUGCAGAGUGGUCAGCAACUUGAUGAAAAACAAUUUGUGAGGGAUGCCUUAGGUCAGAUUGGAAAGGGGGCAUCCAAAUCUAGGGCAACAACAGAAAAGAAGUCAAGUACCUCAUCAAAGGCAACACCAAAAGCUAAACCUAAGACUAACUUGCCAGUUAAAACCAAGAAACCUGGUUCUCACAAACCUUCAAGUGACAGACCUUCACCUCAAAAACCUUCACCUCACAAGCCUUCUCCUAAGAAAAAGGCUGCAGCCAAGACACCCAUUGUUUCAACCCCAAAAGCUAGUGUAUCACCCAAACCAGUUGGGAGAGUGAAACUUCCACCUAAGAAGAAACCCCCUACGACCAAUCCCAACAGGGAUUCAAAAUCUAAGAGUGAUUCAACACAGCUUAAACAACAGAAGAAAAUUCCAAAGCCUGGAACAUCACCAACUUCAGUUAGAACUACCAGAAGGAAAGCCUUGGAGGAUAAUGUUACAACAGUUGGUAAAUAUGAGUUAAGAAGAAGGGAACCAACAGAACCAAAAGCUCCUGAAGUUAAGAAGAGGAAAAGAUCAGAUAAAGAAGAUAAGAAGGAAACCAAGAAGGUGAAAGUGGGGGAUAAAGUUGAAGAAGUUCAGAAGGGUAAAAGGGAGGGUAAGAAGGGAAAAAAGAUGGGAAAAAGUGGUGAUGAUGAAGUGAAGGAGGGUGGUGUUUAUGUGAGUGAAGAAAUGAUAGACAUGGAAUUAUUCAAGCCCCCUGAAGUCCUUCUACUUGGCUGGUAUGAGCAAGAAGAGCAAGAAGAUAAUGAUAAUGAUGGAGAUGGAACAAAGAAGGAAGAAAUGGACGUGAAACAAAGAAAGAGGAAGAAAACAGAAGUUGGAGUUCAGCCUUCAAGGCUACAACCUAAUAGGAAGGUUAAGCAUGAAGCAGAAGAACUGACAUGGAUGAGAGAUAUUAGAAGGAGAAAUGAGGCAAGGAAGAAAAGGGCACAUGAAGCAAGAAAAACACAAUCGGAUGAUGAUGAUGUCCCAAGCUCCAAGAAAGCAAGAAAAUUGAGUUUUUGGGAUGAUGAUGAUAGUAGUGAUCGUGAGAGUUUUGAAGUUGUGGUGAAAAAUUUGAAAGAAGGAGGUAAUCCUCUUGACACAGAGAUGUCAAAGUUGAAACAACUUUCUAUUCUUGCUUCAAUGAAGGUUGAUUCAUCAAACAUAGGUAGUUCAUCGGCUACAUCUGGUCAUCCAUCGGUUACAUAUGUUCAGCCAUCGGCUACAACAAGUCAACCAUCUUCUUCAGAUGCGCCUCCAUCGGCUACAACAACACCAACAGGAACACCACCAGCAUCUACAACCUCUACGACUGAAGACUCAAAGGAUGAGUCCACUGAUGAUGAUUAUGAACAAUCUACAGGGGGGGUUGAUCGAAAAACUGAUAUUGUGAUUGACAAGGAGAAAGUUCCAAUAGAUUAUAGACUUGAAACUCCAGAAAUUUCAGCUAGUCCCAACAAAGACAAAGCCUCCAUUCUUAAUCUUGGUGUCUGUUCAAAUGAUGAUGAUGUUAUCGAAAACUUCGAUCUUCAGUUGUUUAGGGAUAGAAAGAGGCAACAGGAUGCAGAAUACUUGGCCAAAAUGUCACCUGAGGAGGUUGAGAUUGGUCUUAGGUGUGAUGCAAAGAUUCAAGAUAUAAUGAGGGAACCAUUCUUCACUAGGCAUGUUGAGAAGUGGCAAGCAGAUCUUCUUCAUUAUUUCUGGGGAUUAGCUAAGGAACCUUCGAGGCUUAGGCAGUAUGUGAGGGUUUAUGGUUAUCUUCAAUCAUGCCCUGUGAGUGCUUUCAACACACUCUAUAAAGACAACUGGCUUGAUGAUGAGGUUAUUAAUGUUUAUUUGAGGUUGUUGGUUCGUCUUAUGAUUGGAAGGAGGCCACAAGAUUACAAGGAAGAAGAUCAAUAUGCUGUGGUUCCAAAUGUAUUUCUACAUGUAAGUAUAUUCUUGUCAAUAUUUAUUCUUCCAUGGUUAUGUUCUUGUAAUUCUAUUACAUGUAAGCAACUUCUUAUUAUUGCUUUCAUCUGUUUAGACCCAAAUCGCCUCUUAUAUGAAGCCUCAGUUUGAUGCUCUGAUGAAGGACAAAAGUUUUGCCAAAAUGAAGCCACAAGAGAGAAUAUUAUCUGGGAGAUUUAGGAUUCCAUCAAAUGUUACUUCUCUUGUUGAUCUGGGAGAUUUAGGAUUCCAUCAAAUGUUACUUCUCUUGUUGAUCCAUGGAUAGGCCUCCGCAAUCAAGUACACCCUGUGAAAGCUAAGGCACUUCUUGUUCCUUUACAGGUAUUUGUGUUCAGUUAUACCACCUUAUCUGCUACAUUAGCUACUUAUACCACUUUAUCUUCUACAUUGUGAUACACAAUCUGCUAGGUAUAUGUCUGUAUCGUUUAUAAUGUACAUUUCAUCUACCAUAUCUUAUAUAUCUAUUAUUAAAUGUAGGUGGAAAACAAUCAUUGGAUUCUGCUCUCAUUUAGUUUCAGUGAGAGUAUAGUUAGGAUCUAUGAUUCGUUGGGCUACAAAAGGGCAACUAAUGAACAGAGAAACAUGGAGAAGAUGUUGCCCUAUGCUAUUUAUGCUGCAGACCCAUCUCAGAUUCAACUUGAUUUGGAAAUGAAGUGGAAGCGUGAGUAUGUAUCCUGUGUUACACAACCAGACUUUUGUACUUGUGGGGCAUUCCUUCUUGCAUUCGUCGAAUGUGUCCUUCGAGGAAUACCACCGGAAUUUGAGGCAGAUCCUUUGCAGAUGCGCUACCGCAUUGCUAGAGACCUAAUUGAUUGUGGAGAGCUACCACCAAAGAGAAAGACCUGAUUGCACUUCUAUUAACAUGUUUUGUGAAGACUUGUAUAUUUCUUGAAAAGUAUUCUGAUUUUCUUGUAUUCUGAAACUUAUGAUCCUGUUAACUUAUAGUAUAUUCGAUUACCCUCUUCUUAACUCUGUUGAACAUGUUAGUACGGAUUCUGAGAUUUUACAUAGCAAAAGGUAGACUGAUCUUAGUAGCAGAUAAUACAGGGAGUCUAAACUGUGUACAUAGCAAAAGAUAGCAAAAGUCUAUACAUAGCCAAAUAUUCUUCCCCCUACUAUGCUGUUUGAUUGAGAGGAGAGAGUGGAGGUCCUUCUCCAAACUGCAUUGGAGUGAAAAGAUCAUAGUCAUCUAUGAAUUCAGUGCAAGUUUUUUUGUUGUGACCUCUCCGUUUACACCUUGAGCAUCUCCUACUCUGGACUGGGACACCUUCAGCUUUACCUCUCUUCCUGACCACUUUAGGUCGACCUGGCAUGCAAACUUUAAGUGGUGGCAAUAUUUUUCUUGUCGGUCGUGCAGUUGGCCAUGACUCCUUCCCAGGAGUGGGAAUCCAUUCUUCCUUGUACGUUUCCAUGUAUGUUUCUUUCAAGAAAAAAACAUCAACAAACUUGUAUGGAUCAUGGCCUACAUCCUUUAUGGCUGCCAUGGCAUGAGCACAUGGGAUCCCCAUAUGCUGAAACCAUUUGCAUGUACAUGUUCUCUUGUUAAGAUCGACUACACAUGACCUAACCAGCCCUGUAACCGUCCAAAUUCCUGCUGAAACUCUUUCGACUGUGCAUCUUCUUGCUGUGGAAGCAUUGUGAAUUAUUAGCUCUUGACACCAUGUUGUAACUGGUGAGUUGAACUUCAGGGAGUCAUUGUGGUAAUCGCGAUAAUGCCUAAUCACAUUGUCUCUUAUCAUUGACAAAACAGUAGUAACUGGCAUCAUUCUCUCCCCAACAAUCAUUUUGUUCCAGGACUCUACGUGAUUUGUGGAAACAAUUCCAUACCUGCAACACAUAAUCAAAUUAUACUGUAGGCGAUAUAUAACCACUUAUAGGCGAUAUAAAGGCAUAUGUAGAGAAUGGAAACAACACAAUAGCAGAUAUAUAGUUAUAUUGACUGACCUUGAUUUUUCUUGAAAAGCACUUGCCCAUUUUUCUACAGGACCAACAUCCAUAAGUUUUUCAUGCGCCUUGCUUGACAUACACCAGAUUCUAAGCAUCAUUCCCCAAAAUUCAUCUUGGUUGAGAGUUUUUGCACCUUCUUGGACCAAGAACUUGAUUUUCUUGUUACCAAACUUGCCACUCAAGUGAUAAGAACAGUACAUAUGGAUAGCCUUUGGCAAGAUUUUAGGGACACCCUGGAUGAUACCUUUGUGCCUAUCAGAUAACAAAAUAAACUCAUGAUCCUCUCCAACAACAUGGUCCCUUAACUUUGUGAAAAACCAGUCCCAACUUUCAUUUUUCUCUUUCAUAACAAUUGCGAAAGCGAUGGGGAAGAUAUGGUUGUUGCCAUCAACUGCAAUUGCUGUAAGAAUUGUGCCAGGGUAUCUUCCCUUAAGAAAAGUUCCAUCAACCAAGAUUAUGGGACGUAGAGUCUUCUUGUAAGCUCUAAUUGUAAUACCAUAUGUCCAAAAUAUGCAUUCAAAAUUACCCAAUGGAUUCGUAAGAAUGUCUGUUACUGCAUCUGGAUCCACCUUCUUCAGCUCAUUGCAGUAUGUUUCAAGCAUUUGGUAUGAGUGGCUGUAGCUUCCUCUUAUCUGUAUAUAAACAAACAGUUAAGCUCUUUGUAGACGAUAUAGUACAAACUAUAGACGAUUGUAAUGACUGCGUAACAGAUAGAUUCGUCUUUCUAAGGGAUAGAUUUAAUUUACCUUCCUCAUUGCCUUCUCUUUAGCUAACCAUGCAACUUUGUAAGAAAUUUUGACCAUGUAUUCUUCAUUGAUUGCACUCACCAAUUUUAGGGGUGGCAAGUCUGGGUUGUCUCUCAACUUUCUCAUACAAACUCUUGAAACCCAAUCACUGUUUGCUUGGCGGUUUUUACUUCCAACCCUAAAGUUACCGCACGAGUGGUCAUCUAUAAGUGUUUUUAUAAUCCAACUUCCAUCCAAACCAUUUGGGGUUGCAUACAGAUACCAUUUGCACCCACCAGCUGGACACCUAAAAAUCAUCCUCUUACUGUUUGUGUUUACACGUUUUAGAUCUUUUUCCAUUUUAAUUGCGUAUGUUUGGACAUCCCUUUCAAGCUCAUCACGAUUGUUGUAGAUUACUCCUCGUUUAGGUUGCACAUAGUCGUUGUGUGCAGGCUCUGUGUGAGGAGAACAACCUACAUUUGCCCUUUUAGUCGCAACAUAGGAGGAAAAAAUAUUGUUAAGUUCGCGUUUUACCUGAUCGAAAUCACGAUUUUCCUCAACCCUAGUAUUAUGUUGCAGUGGUACAUUGCUAGGAAAAGGCACAUUGUUCUGAGGAGGCACAUUAUUGGUUUGUGACGGCAUAUCGUGUUGUGAUGGCUGAUUGUUGUUCAUAUCGUCUAGAUGUUCAAAUCUAUCGGCUAUAUUGCACCUGACUCCCUCUUUUCUUUCAUUUACAUCGGCCACAUUGUCACCUUGCUGCGUGUCUGCGUUAUCACCAACAUUUGGGCUGCCUUCUUCGGAGAUUGGUCUAGAAGGACCAAACAUUGGUUGACUAUCAUCCCACAUUUGAUCCUCGAGCUCAUCUUCAGUAUUCCAAGAUGCAGGUGAGUCGAAAACUUCUGGAUCUGUAUCCCAAUGGUAUUCCUCACACUUAGGAGAUUCAGAGUCCUCCUCACUAUCAUCAUCUAUUAAUGUCGGUUGUGUCUUCUGUGCAGAUUGAAGAACAGCAUCAACUUCUUGUAAUGAAAGUGAAUCCCAAAAACCAUCAUCUUUUUGCAUGGCAGAAAGAAUUCCAGCUGCAUCCAUGAUACCUUUGUUUUUUACGGAUAGGGGUGUACAAGUAGUUUCUGAUAAUGGAUUGGUAGCAGAUGUGGGAGUAUGUUGGAUUGGAGGUUUAGGAAUAUAGACACCACUAGGUGGAGGGGUUUCUAAAACUACAGGGUCAUUUCUAUGCCCCAUUCCCUUGACUAUCAUAUCAGCACUUGGAUCUUGAGUAGGAGUCUCCAACCUAUAUUCAUCUGGAACAUUAAGAGGUUUGGUGGGUGUAUGAUAAGUAGAGUAAUCGGGUUUACUUUUUGAAGCCUUCUUUUGUAACUGCAUUGGUGGUGUCUCCCUCCCUUCACUCAAAGGUGUAUAAGAAGGAAUAGCUUCCGGAAAAAGCUUUCUUUUCCCUUUGCUUUUGGGAGCCUCAUUUUGUAACACAAAUGGUAUCUCCUUCUCUUCACUCCUUGCUAUUUCAGGCACAAUCUUCAGUAUAGGUGGUUUUCUAUGAUCAACAAUCCAAACAGAUAUGCACAUUGCAGCUGAAUUGUAUAUGGAAGCUAACAUUGCCUUAUAAUGAUCUUCACAUUCAAGUUUGGAUACCCUGAGGUUGACUACUGCUCGAAGUGACCAUGUUCCUUUUGGAGGAUUGCAUAAGGAAGAUACCUUCUUGAGGAAGUCUGUAUAGAUCGUCUGAAUAUCAACAAUCCUUAUUCUUGACUCUCCAUCCACAUAUCCAACCUCUUCCCCCUCAGCUGUGACCUCCAACAGACCACCAAAUCGAUAAAUUACAUUGAAAGUAUUCGCUGAAAGUAUCCACAUGUUAAUAAUGUUGAUUAGUAUCACAAUGUUAUAGUAGUUAUACAAAGUGUUUCAUGCAUUCUAAAAUGUAUCUGCUACAUUCUUCUAUCGUAUCGGCUACUGUCAAGAACUGUUGGUUUACAUAGCCAAUAUAUCGGCUACCUACAAACUAAAAUCUUAAAAUCUUUAAAAAUGAAAGUUUGCAUCUUUAAACCAAAUUGCAAGUUCAACAACAAGGUUUGCAUCUAUAACAAACAUAGAAAUCAAAUCAAUUCAACAGCAAAGUUUGCAUCUUGCAUCUUGGCCCGGCCAACUUUAAAAAUCAAUUAAAAUCUUUCAAAAUCAAAGCUUUCAUCUUCAAAUACAAAAUCAAACCUUUUCAAAUGAACAAAUACAAACUGACUUAAACAAUACCAAGGGUUACCAAACUGAAACCGGAAUUUAAUGCGAAUUUAAUUCGAAAACAGUAUGAAAUUGAAUAGCAAGCCAUCUUAAAUAUCAAUCAUUACAUUAAGGGUUUGGGUUUAAAUGCAUACCAGGUAUGGGUACUUCCUCGAGAACAUUAACUUUCUUCUUGGUUGUCUUUUGUUUCCCCAUUAAAGCAGUACCAAAGUGUCAAAAUGUUGGUGAUGGUACCACGGAAAAACCGAAAUUGUAACACAACAACCUAACAACUAAGUGAUAGAUUAAAACCUUGGAAUAGAAAAACUUGUUUAUAUAAUAGCAGACGAAGAACAACAGAAAAAUCAGUGAAGAAGAAGAAGAAGAAGAAGAAGAUGAAAAAGUUUGUUGGUGAUGGACGGUUGAGAUGAAAAACUUCGAUCUAACGGAUAGUGUUGGUUUGCAUGUCGGUAUCAAGUUUAAUGUUGAAGUACGUAGGAGAGAGAAUGAUGGUGAUGUUUAAAAGUUAAGUAAUGAAAAGAGAGAAUGUGUAAGAAGGGUAGAAAGGGAAACAAAAGAAUCUUUGUGCUUGUUUGGGAAAGUUUUUAUACUUGUUACUUAUUUGGGAAUGUUAUGCAUAAUGUUGUACUUAUUCGGGAAAUUACCCUAGUUUAAAUGUUGGGUGUAUUUGUUGGUUGAAGGAAGUUUUACUAUGUGCCAGCUGUGAUGUAUUUGUGCUUAAACAUGUAUACCUUUUAAUCAUUCAGGUUGUUUUGUAGAUAAAUUAACUAUUUUGGUCCUCUAACUUUGCCCAAAAUUUCAAUUGAGUUCCCAAAGUUUAAAUUGGUUAAUUUGGUCCCAACUAUUACUAAACAUUUAACAAUUCUUUUUUUAAUAAAAUGGGUUCUAUUUUUACACAGUUUGGGUUUGUGUUCUAUUUUUAAACAAUAUGAUGUUGCGCUUCUCACUCACGUGCUCUGCUGACCUAGCAAAAAAAAAAAUAUUAAAAUUUGAAUUUAACAGACCACGUGUGAUAGUAAACUACUACUAAACAACUUUGUUAAAUGCUUGCUAACGAUGAGACCAUUUUGCAAACGUUUUGAAAGAUUUGGGACCAAAUUGAACGGUUUAAACUUUGAGGACUCAACUGAAAAUUUGAGCAAAGUUAGGGGACCAAAAUAGCUAAUUCAUCUUAUUUUGUAAGUGUAUAGUGUAUACCCUCUUGUUUGGAUUCUUGUUUGGAUCCAACAUUUUUGUAAGUAUUUUCUGUAUAAGAUACAAACAAGAGUGUAUAUAUAUAUAUAUAUAUAUGUAAAAAUUAACAUACAAAAAUAUUGAGUGUAUUAACCUAUUUCUAGAUUAAUGCAUCAACAGGGUCAGGUCGUUAUGGAGACUUGACCAAAUGGGGAUAUUUGAGAUUGGGGUGGCUGCACCUCGUUGAGAUCGAGAUUGCCUACGUACUCUAGCUCGGGGGAAUUGAACUUAGAGAUCAAGCCAUCGUAGUUCUGUUUAUAUAGAAGAUGGAAGGGCGUGGAUCGUGGAUCUUGCAGAUUCUCCGCCAUCAUAAUGAUGAUUAAAUGUGUAACGCGCGAGGAUCAUCCCUGUGAAUUAAUUAUGUAACUGAUGAGAAUAUUCUGUGCAUUGAAUAGGAGCACGUGUGAAUAGCAGGUCGCUGGUCGUUGUGUAGUCUAGUCGCUUUAGUCGAGCUGCGAGUGGGUAGAGAUCGUGGCGACCUGACGGAUGGAUGACUGUGCCACGUGGCUGCUUUUGAUUGGUCGGAGUAUGUAGUACCCCUACAUUGAGGUAUACAUGUAUACCCUCUUGUUUGGAUCUGGGUUGGAAAUCUAAACAUGUAUGCCCUUUUAACCAUUCAGGUUCAACCAGUAUCUUAAUUUGUAAUUGUUCAUACAUUUAAGAUUGCAUGACAGUACGAGCUCCAGUCGACACCAACUUUAGGUAUGUAGGGGUCUGCCAAACCCCACUUUUUUUGUGGGAUCUGUUCAACUUAAUAUUUUUUCAAAAAGAUUGGUUUUGCUAUUCAGAAAUGACUUGCAGCAUUUGUCCUCCACUUUUGUAUAAUUUUUUGAGCUUAACGAUAAAGUGAAAUAUUUUAUAAUUAAAAAAAAAGUGGAUUAUAAGCAAAAGCCAAAAAUUCAACAAAAGAAGGUUUCAUUUUCUUCACACUUACCUAGAGAAAGGGAUGUUUGCAAAGACUAAUAGGGAUGACAGUGGCAGCUUCGAUUGAUUUCUUGCUUUAGUUACUUGUGGCACUUCCACAGCAACAAAAGUCAAAAAACUUAUGGGUGGUGCCAAGAAUUUUCCUUCCAGACAUAUAGAGAUCAUGAGGAAGACUAUAAUAUAUUACCCACUCUCAAUUAAAAGGUAUGCUGAAACUUUGAAUGCAGUCUGCAGACUCUGAAGACUUUUUCUGUUUCACUGUUAUCAGUGAAAAUUCUUUGUUUUGACUUUUUAGGCCAGGCUUGUGGAUAAAUCAGACAUUGUUUAACUAUCAAGCUCAUCAAAUUAUCGCACGAAAAUUUAAAUCAGUUUUUGUAGCAUAAUACACAUUGGAAUAUAAUAUUACCCUCUUCUAUCGUUAUACUAUACGGUGGCUUUCUUUCCAGGGUUCAUUCAUCUGAUAUUAGGUCUCUUGCUCAUUCUCUAGGUAAUGUCAUCUGUCAGUUCACCCUAGUUUUAUAUCUUGCUUUACUCAAUGGACGUACGCGCAUUAGAUUUCAAACUCAUCUGUUUUCAAUUGCUUGCAGUAGGGAGUGUGUACUAGGAGUCUAGGACAGCAUCCAAGUACUGACAAGCAUGAACUACAAGAGUCAUUGCAUAAAUAAUAAAUGUCCAGAUAAAGAAAUCGACAAGUGAUAUUCAAAUUAAAUUAUAUAUGUAGCUUAGGUUCCUGCGUUCUGCAUGGAACAUUUGACAGAUUGUUGAAGCUUCCUGGUACUCACUAGGUGUUAUGAACAUAGUAACAAAGCUUGUACUGGCCUGUAUCGUCAUGGCAACCACUACAGGGUGUGAGGGCAAAGGCAUAAAUUUCGAGUUGACAAACAAGGCUCUAGCAUUUGAUCUUGGCUUUGAGAUCAACCAUCAAUGAAGAAUUCGCCUCAAACAUUUGAGUUCAUUUCUCAAGUAAUUAAAGAGCAACAAUAACAUGUAGCAAUGUUAUGGAACUUCUAGUUUUCAUAAUCUGAACUCUUAUUUUCAAUACAUAUUAUAUUAUUCAUCUAUAUAGACAUCUAAAGGGAAGUUUCCUCUGGAUAAAAUCCGUUGACAGUUAAUCCGCCAUCAACAGUAAAUACUUGGCCUGUAAUAUACGAAGCUGCAGGGAAGCAAAGAUAAGCAACCGUUGAUGAAACGUCACUAGGCUCUCCAAUUCUCUUCAAGGGUGUGCGGGAGAUGUAUUCCUUGACCAUUGCCUCUUGCUCAAGCGCCUACGGGAAAUGGAGAAAAGUAUAGUAAGAAACUAUAGCAAAAAAAUUUAAUUAUAAAGUGCAGAUCGAAUAUAUUGUUGGAGUUGGCAUGACUUCCAAUAUGUUCGGUAUGAAUCUCAUUAGUCAUUACCUCCUUAACCAGUGGAGUCCUGAUCAGCCCUGGAGCAAUAGCAUUGAUCCUAAUAUUAUCUUUUGCCCAUUCACAUGCCAAAGUCCUUGUUAAUUGAUUCAUUGCUCCUGAUACAUCCAAGACACAAUUAUUCCUAAAAAAACAUUCCUUUAUGAAGGUAUGGUAAAAGAAUCAUAGAUGACUGUUACAUAUAAACUAGAGAUUGAGUUUUCUGUUGUACGUUGUUAUUGUGGUAUGAAUAUUACCUUUACUUGCAGCAUAAAUUGUGCCUGCAAUGAAACCAGUUAAACCAGCAAUAGAAGAGAUGAAGACAAUGCUUCCAUUACCAGAGGCCUGCAAGAGUGGAUGUGCAAGUUGGCACAAAUGGUAACAUGAUUCGAAGUUUGUUGUCAUUAUGGAAGAAAAAUCAUUUGCUGUGUAUUCAGUGGUGGCCUUCACUACAUUUGUUCCUACAUUGCUUACCUAUAUCAUUCAAACAACAUUUCAUAAUAUAAACAUAAAGCUUAGCAGUUUAUGAAGAUGAAAAAAUAUGUGCUUUUACAAAUCUAGCUAUUUCUAGCUAGGUGACGCGUGUUGCAUAAAAAAAAAUGAAAUUAUGGUUGAGAAGAUUUUUCUUUUCUCCGAAAUUCCUACAAAUCAAAAUUUCUUUUCUAAAAUAAAGUAGGGAAAUUUUGAUCUAGUAGGUCUGUAACGGGAAUUACUACAAAAUAAGUAGUGAACAAACAAAACCUGACCAAGUCAUGGAUACCCUUUAAAGUUUAACCCCCAUGUCUGGCAACAAUAACUGUACGUGGUUUAUAUGAUAUCAUAUACUCAAAUAUAUAUGUAUGAAGCAAGCAGCAAAAACAGUCACUCACAAAGAUAGUGAGAUUCUUUUUGAAGAUAGAUGAAACAUCUUCCAUAAGUUUCUCUCGUUGUUGUCGAUCCGAUAUGUCACAGAUUGACCCAGUGACACUAAAUCCUGACUUUGUCCAGUCGUGCAAGACUUGGUUGAGUUCAGUUUCAUUGCGCGCACAUGUGUGAAUCGAAGCUCCUAAGCCUGCCAACUCUUCCACUAUGGCAUGCCUAAAAAACACCCAAAACUGAUCAAAAUAUAAGCAAAAAAAUAUAAGUGAUCAUGAGCUUAGAAAUUAUGAAAGAUAUAUAUACCCGAUUCCUUUAGUUCCACCAGUAACCAAAGCAGUCAUGCCUUGGAGCGACCAUCUUUUCACAGCAACUUUCUUCUCUUCCAUCAACUCUUGCUCUUGAUCUCUAGAAAAUAUCUCUCUCAAUUACUAUCAGAUUUUGCAAAGUCCUUCUUUAUAUAUGUAAAUGCUGACAAAUAUAUUAAUGAAUUUGUCCAACUUUUUCCUCAUCUACCAUCAGGCGGCUCAUCCUUUUAGCAAAUUAGGUAGGUGUCUAGGGCCUCCAUAGUAAACUAGAUUAUUAUAUUUCUCAAAGAUUUCUUACCAAAUCCAAAAUUUUUGUUUUCCGGGUUUUUUUAGCAGUGAAUGGGAUAUCAGGACUAGGUUUAAAAGUUUACAUAAAUUUAGGACGGCUGCCCGUGGUGUUAUAAACCCACGACGUGAUAUUAUCAUCUUUCCCCGUCAACAUAAAAAAUCUACAAUACUCUUGUCAUAUAUAGAAAGGAUUUGGUUGCCGACCUAUUAAGUAACUAGUAAAACCCGUGGCGCUGCCACGACUACCAUUAAUGAUUUGAAGACAGUAAUCUUCAAAACAUUAUUCUGUCACAUUCAAUUUUAGGAGUUAGAUUAGUAGUUUUAAUCUCUUAAAACAAAUAUUCAGUAGGUGUAACAUAUAUCAAUUUGCAUAGGUUAUACAGACGUAUCCUUCAGUCCAAGAGACAUAUAUCAACUUACAUAAGUUAUACGGGCUUAUUCAUACUACAGAACACAGACAAUUUAAACCUAAAAGACCAAAAAAAUUCGAGUGUGUGAGAUAGAAAUAAAAAUACUGAUAACUGGCAUGGAAGUACUGGUCUUUACAUAUUUUGUAAUAUUGUAUCCUCUUUGUAAUCAUUAAGAGAACUAAUCUAACAUGUACAUGACGUUAACACGCUGGUAGAGGAUUAAGAACCAAGAUUGAAAGGAUUGAAGGGAUGUUUUCAAGUGGGGUAAAUGUGGAGCAAAUGUACAUGACGCAAGGUACAACAUUGUUGUCCAAGUGAAGAGUACAGAGGCAGGUAUUACAACGAUCUGGACUCUGCCUCUCACCUUCUUGGUCAGACAGAUUUCCAAAAUUCAUUUUUUAUUGCUAAUCCUAAAUAAACCAAUUGACUUAUAAGCACCAAAGUUUUCUACAAUAUAAUGCUUCAUAUACACCAAAGCUUUUUAAAAACAUGCCAUAUCAUGCAUGGAUAAAAUUGCUGACCUAAAUUACAAAGUGUCAAUGGAUUGAUCUCUAUUAUUCUUAAAAAUAUAAUAAUUAAUCUAAUAAACUAUAUUUUUUAGAGUAAAUAUCUUUAUCAGCUCCAUGUAUCUAUUUUAAAUUUCUUGUAUAUCAUCUUCUUUUUCAUCAGGUCCAUUCGUCCAUAUAUGUAUCAUCUUCUUCUUCUGGUAGUAUAUCUUCUACUAUUGAUCUCAUUAUUUUCAUUAUUUUCUCAUGUCUGAUUAUUUCCAAAAAAACAUUUGGAUACAUAAUUUGUCCAUAAUAACUUGUAAGUAUGUCCUAAAGGUCAACUGCAUACCAUUAUGAUUUCAUUCAGGCACGAUAAUAUGUACUUAAUAUUUUAGAAAAUGUUAAAGUUUCGUUAAAAGAGAAUAUGGUGCAAAACCGACUUGUAUAAGGGCAUCCCUAAUGGACCACCAAACAUGGUAUCAAACUCAAAUUUGGAGAAAAACAAAAAAACUCAUCUCUAAUGGACCAUCAUAUUUGAGUUGGUAGUAAAGUUUCAUCAAAUUUUCACUAAAUUUGGUAAAAAUUUGGUGUUUUUAUCAAAUUUGAUACCACACUUGGGCGGGCAAGAGAGAACCGCUCAAGUUGAGUGGCUCCUGAACACCCACUUUGAGCGAUCCUUCAUUACCCGCUCAAGAGAAGUUGUCCGCCUAACCGAACAUCCACCCAUUAGUUAAGUUGAGCGGCACCCCAUUGCUCGCUUAACAUUUGGAUCGUUUUUGUAAGCGGGUUUCUCUAUGCCCGCCCCUGUGUAAAAGCAUAUAAAAAAAAUAUGGGCAACUCUCCUUUGUCCGCCCCAUAACAUGCAAGCGGAUGUUAAAGACCCACCUGAAAGAAGCGGUUCUCUGUUGCCCGCUCAAAUUUGAUAAACCAUUAGAGAGAACGAAUUUUAAUAGCAAAUAAAACACCAAAUGAGUAUCAAAUGUGCUUAGGUGAACCACCAAAACAAAAAAACCAUUAGAGAUGCCCUAAACGCCAAUUGUGGUGAUUGUUGAAAACCAGAAGGAAGGUUUGAUUCUAUUGCAUAACAUAUCCUGAUUAAACUACUAAGUUAAUAGCCCUUGUGUAUGAAAGGCAUAUUUUGGGGGGUGUUACAACUUAUAAUGUGUUUUUAAUAGUUGCACCACAUCUUGAGAUCGCAUGAUGGGUGGAUGGGGUUUAAUUACUUCUUUUUUCGGAUCCGUUGCUUCAAAGAUUUUUUUUUUUUUUUCUAGUGAAAAGAGUUUAGGAAAUUUAGUUUUAGAUCAGGGGUGGAGUUAAAAUGCAAUGUUUGAAAUUCUUCCAUAAAAGCCUUUGUUAUUUGGCAUAAGGUUGCAUGUAAACAACAUUGUAUGCAACAAUGGGCUAUACUGCAUCAUUACGCAUAAAGCCAACUGAAAAUCUCUACUACUUUAGAAAGACGCCCCCAAAAUAACGUGGUUUGCGAAGCCUGAUCUUAAUUAUAAACAGACUGUAUAAAAGCCCAUGCCUAUACACAAUAAUACCCAUAUACAUAGAUACUGAUAAUUCUGGUUUUAUCCUUACCUUAAAUAUAAACAGGCUAUAUAAAAACCCAGGCCCAUACCAAUAAUACCCCCACCUAUGCAACAUAGUAAUUAUCUAAGUUCUCAGAGAUAUAACUCCUGUUUAUACCUAAUCAAGUUUUACUUGAUCAUCAACUGCAUGAAAAUUUUCGAAUUAUAAAAAUUGAUUCCAGCUUAUCAUUUCUUCCUAGGCUGGUUUAGGGACAUAUAGAGAGUGGUAGGGACAUAUUGAGAUUGAUGUCUUAGAUUUUCUUCCCAAUGAUAAACAAAAUGCAUUUUAGUUGAUAGUAGGUUGAAUUCUUUAAUUUUUGAGGGUGAAUGAAGCUGGGCAAUCUGAUUAGCUUCUCUGGAAAGAGAAAGUCAUGUUGAAUGCCAAAUACGAUCCGAUUGAUCUAUUCGAUGAAGUCCAUAAACUGAAAUAAUAAAAAUUACAUCUCCAACUAUACAGAGCUCUCGCAGCCACUAUUCUACUUUACCUUUGAAAGGAUAUUUUUUGAUUUGUAACUACAAAUCUAAGAGUAUCUCUGUAUCUGCAAUUGUGGUAGGAAAAUUUCAGUCAAGAGACUUAGCUAUGAGAUAGAAACACAAUAAAAAUAAAAAUAUCAGCAACUUUCCAAUUCCCUUAUGGUAUGAUCUUAGCGUUACCAUUGUCCAUUAUAUUAUUGUUUCCGUAGUGAGAGAAUUGGGUUUUCUUUUUCUUUACUUUUUAUCUACAGAUAAUUCUGAUCAGUUUCAGGAAUUUAACCAACUAAAUCCCCAAAAGAAUAAAAGUUUGUAGAAUUUAGUUUCUAAUCAUACAGAACUGGCAACUUUUCUUUAACAUCAUUAGAAUUGACGCCAUAGCCAUAGAAUAGAGAAUUAAAACAUGGCCUUCAGAGAAACUUUAAAGUUAACUCAACAUAGUCCAAAAUUUAUCUGGCAAAUAAAAUUUGACUGCAUAAAAAACAUUGUUGCAUUAAUUGUGUACUAAAAUCCAAAUACUCUUAACACCAAAUUAGCUACCUCUAGAGAAUUGACCAUAGCAACAAAAUAAAGAAUUAAAAACAUGGCCUCUAGAGAAACUUUAAAGGUAACUCAACAUAGUCCAAGAUUUUACUUGUAAAUAAAACUUGACUGAAUAAAAAGCAUUGUUGCAGUAAUUGUGUACUAAAAUCAAAAUACCCUUUACACCAAAUUAGUUUUGAUGCUUGUAAACCCUGCCUUUGUAACCCUUUGUAGUCUCAAUCAUCCCGCAGUAUUUUUAAAUCUGUCAUAUACAACAUCACAAUCAAUAAUAAUAAGUAAUCAUUUAAGAAUGAUUUUUUCCACAAAUUCCAUAUAAAGUUGGUUGUUUUGUUUGUGAUAAAGUACAAUCUGUUGCAAGUUUGGGGAAAGUGUUCAAGUGUUCGCCAAUAGCAGAUAAAACUAACGUCGCUAAGUCCUAACACAGCUAGAGAGUCAUCAAAUUGAAUAAAUAGGAGAAUUUGAGUUCCUAACUCAAAUUAGAAAACUUACAUACAAAUAAUUAUGCACCUUUUCGUACCUCACAAUCUCACCUGAACCUAUCUCUACUCCCUUAACAAACUUGCAAAAAAUUUAUAAUUGAAACCCUUUUGCCAUACAAAAUUUUCAGAAAUGGUACACCCUUCUCUGAUAAACACAUAACUCUAACAAAAAAAAUGCAUAGUUCAUAUUUUGUAUUUAUGUUUGUCAUUGCUUUUAUUCAUCUUUGAGUUGGGUAGUAUAUAUAUAUAUAUAUAUAAAUUUGGCAAUUUAUGGCAUUACAUAAAGAUCAUUGACCUGCAUAGAUAGAAUGUUUAAUAAAAGUUUUGUUGUCUUUUAUGGAUUAACAAAAAUAUUAUUAAUCAGCAACAAACCAAAUACAAUCUUGAUCAACGUGUGCCAUCAGGUGAUAAAUAUCCAAAGCAAAAGAAAGAAAGUACCAACACUAAUUCUUCGAGCUCGAUAAAAUAGCCUUGUAUCUUCACUGUCAGACCCUAGAAAUUGUCACCUGCCACACUCCGACACCACAAUACCACUUUACACAUCAACAAAGUACCCCUAAACAAUAUCGUACAAUAAGCCAAUUGUAUAAUAAGAUGCUAGCAAUGAUAGAAUUGAGUAUCAUAAACAAAACUAAUAAAGCUAUAACAAAGUAUUUACGUAGUUUCAGGAGCCAUUAUAUUUGAUAUUGGAAAAAGAAAAUAGGUAAUACAACAACAGGGCUACAUUUGAUAUUGGAAAAAGAAAACAGGUAAUAACAACAGGUUUAGAUAUAGGUCCCUCUCUGCACAUACACCUUUACCUAUAUUUGUUCUAAGUUUUAUUUCAGUUCAUAUUUUUACCAAAAGAGGAUUGAAAUAAUAGGAUACAUUCUUCAAGGUGUAACUGUAAAUAUUGACUGACUUGUAGAAUGUCAUUUCCCUUUCUUCCUAUGGAAAAGAAAAGUUUAUAAAUUAAGAAGUAUUUCUGAUGUUAAAAUAUUGACCAUCUAUAUACUUUUGAAUUGCAUAAACUUUGAUUCGGUUUUCCAUCUAUGUUGUGACUUGGUUGAGAUUUUUUCCACUGAUCAGGCCUGAUCACCUAACAGGACAAAUAUGCAGAACAAACUGGUGUAACAGAUCUAUUGCUAGAAAUGCCUAUCAUACGUGGCUGAAGGUUUAAGUUGUUGAGAGUAUGUUCACUGGCUUUCUCAUGUGAGUUCUUUAUAUUAAUUAUUUCGAAGAGAUUUGUUCCAAAGAUACUCGUAGUUAACCAUCUUGUUCUAAAAUGUAUAUUGCACUAUUAGUGCAACAAAAAAAAAAAAAAAAAACAAUUCAAAGCGUAUACAUUUUCAAUUCUACUACUUCAAGAUCUAACUUGUUAUGUCAAGCUACAAAAAAUGCUAUCGUAUGGCAUAUGAAGCAUCUAGUAAGUUGCAUGACUGCAUGUCUUUUUGGUGGAACUAUGAUUGGGACUACAUUUAUCAGAAAGUUUCCAACCUGUUGUUGGGAUCUUAAGAUGCACAGAUUUGUCCAGUAUCUACUCCUAACAUGUGGUUACAUCCUAUGCUGUCAAAGGCGGAGCGGAGCGCCAGGCGCUGAGAUUUGUAUAGACCGCCUCCACCGCUCAGGCGGCGCUCCGGCCAGAAGUGACAGAUCAUAGAGUAACAGUAUAUUGUAUAUACUCUGAAUUUCUAAAAGAAUAAACAACCCAAUAAACGAAACAAACCAAAAAAAUAAAAAUAAAUUAGUAGAGAAGAAGAAGAAUAUGAUUUGAUAUGGAAUUAAAUUGAAUUUGAUAUGGAAUUCAUUAGAAUUGUAGAAGAUGAAGUGGAAUUAAAUUUGAUUUGAAUUGAAGAAGAUGAAGUGGAAUUACUGUGCGAAUGAGCAACAACAAAGAAGAAGAUUUGAAUGAGCAGCAGCAGAGAGAACCAGAAGCAAGUCAAGCAACAGAGAGACAAGUGAUUUUUUUUUUUUUUUUUUUUAUAUUUCUUAAUGAGCUUUUAGGGUUUGGGCCGCCUCUGACCGCGUUUGAAUGGGCCGCCUCUGACAGAGCGUUGGGCUGAGCGUCGCCCAGGCGGCCCAGAGCGUUUUAAGCGCUAUUUUAGCCUAGCAAAGCGUCCCCCUGAAAAACUAGCGCCUAGGCAGCGCCCCUGACAGCAUAGGUUACAUCACCCACCAAAAUUUUAAGCACAUUUGCUGAUCAAAAAGGUCCCAAUAUGUAUCUACUCUUAACAUGUUUUGCUAUAUCACCCAAAAAAAUACUGUGUUUCUUUAGAGAGCUUCACAAUAAACUAAUCUACUUUUACAUGCACGCAGGGCUUGUUUUAAUCUUUUAGAUUGACAUACCUGAGAUAUCCCAUUUUCAUUUCAAUGAAGGGAAGGUUUUAUUCCAAAGCAGACAUGGAAUUGAAGAAAUUUCAAGAUUUUUGAGUCUCGACAGCCGGAAAGUCUAAAUCAAUCAGCUUUUACCCUAUAGAAUUCAACAUCAAAUAAACCAAUAAAGCAGAUUAAUAUAAAUAAAAAAAAAAAACCUAUAAUCAAUUGAGAACUUCCAUUUCAACAUAAAUGGUUCAGCAUGACUGGACACUUUCGUAGCUUGGGUAAUGCAUAUCAAGUCUCAUUGAUUGGUUUCCCGAUUAUAUCUAAUAACUCCUAACAGAUCAAUGCUUCAUAUUAGCUACAUAAAAUCUCCCCCCUAAAAAUUUCAUGCGCCUAUGACCCUAAUGGCGGUAAUGCUCAAGCUUGUUGACCAGCUGAACUCUAUUAGAAUAUAGACAUAUAAUAUUGAUUACAUAGAUUUCAACAAAUACUUCAUAUUAAGAAAAACAUAAUACCAAGUCAUACUUGUUAAUGUUAGAUACUUUAUUUUUAAGAUACAAUAUGACCAACCUUAUUUUUCGGGAUAAAUAAAGGUAUACAAUGAUGGUUUCUAAAAGGUGUACAAUAAUAUUGUACAGAUGAACUGUCUGUUGCAUGCAUACUCUACUCAUACAACAUGAAAUUGGUGCUUGAUGGAUCUUUUAUCAACAUAUGAAACAAACCAAUAUGCUUAAGCAAGUUCCCAAUAACCAAACUAAAAUUAAGUUCAAAGAUUAGGAUUGAUAUGAUAUGGCUUUAAUAGGGGCACAUUCUCAAGGCAUCAGAUUGUAACUGAGAACCCCAAGCAAAAGUGCAGACUAACUUUUCACUACCAAUCUACAUAAAUGAAUUAAAGGUUAUAAUGUGAAUUGCUUAUCAUGGUUUGUAAACAAUCAAUGGAUUAAUAAAAAAAAACAAUGGAUGUGGUGGUAGCAAUCUGAUUCAUUAGACAUGCUCAAGAACUGAAGGCUUAACUGUAGUGGUAUCUUUCUAUAUAACUGUAGACAGUUCUUCUAUAACUAUACUAAAAAUGCAUAACUGUAAGAAUUAAUGAAGUUCAUCUAUAAAUAUACUAAAAAUGUUGUCUGACAGUUUGCAGUUCAUCUAUAACUAUACCAAAAAUUUCAACUCAGCCAUGCUUUAGUUUGCAGUUCAAACAAAAUGAUCUGAUAUUGCAAAAGAGAAUGCACAAAAGCUACCUUGGGAGUAUAUCACAACAUUGUAACCACUGAAUUCUUGAUACAUAUCUCCACCAACAUAACCUCUUACAUGUCCACGAAAACUAUGUCCUCCUCUAUCACUGGAGCCUCGGUCAUGGGUCACCAUCUCCAUUAUGGUCUUUUUCUGCAUUCUGCAUCCCUAGAAUGAAAGUAGCAUCCCUAGAGCGAAAACAUGAAAGAUAAGUUCUUCCAUACAAUAAGUUGAAGAAAGACACUAAGAAUCAAAGAGUCUGAACAAAAUAAUGAUAAUGAUGGUUAUGAUUACUAUCUACAGUGAACAUGCUUCCCACAUAUGCACCACAUUUCUCAACAAAUAAGCAUACAAUUCUUAAAACAUUUAAAUUUUUAACACACACACACAAAACUACUAACUUUCUCAAAUUACGAUAAUUCUAGAGCUAGGUUAGUCUUCUCAGAUCUCAAUUUAAAUCCAUCAUUUGCCAAAACCACAUGCAUGUAAUCCUUGGCACUAAUCGAAGGAAGACUGGAAAGUACUUGAGCUCAUAAUACUUAACUGAUAUACAAUACAUUGUAUAAGCAACUCACUUUAGACGAACUCGCAUUUGGUUACUUAUGUACAAUCCAUCAGUUCCAAGAUUGAUUAACUUUGAAGAGAAUUAAAACUAAACAUAAGAUAUAAUUCAAUAGGUUUAUAAGAUACUCGCAUUUGGUCAACUUUCAAUUACUACAAGAGAAAAAUCUAUUUUACCAACAUUUCGCUGUCAUACGUUGCUUGUAUCUCUCCUCAACUAAUACGCACUUCGGUCAUGUCCUACUUUUAUCUCUCGACAUAGAUAGUGGAUACAUUAUUUGUAAUAGCUUUUGUAGGAUUUACAAAGGUCUGUUAUAUUUAUUUAAAUUGAGAGGGUAUCUUACUGCCAAUCCUAUUCAAAAAAAUUUGUGCUUAUUCAGUCUCGACAUUGUUACAUGAGGUCAGCCUACGAAAAAUUUCCAAGAUUUGUUGUGAUCAUCUCCAUAUCAUGACUAACAACAGCUAAGAAAACCUAGGCAGUGUUUAACCAAGUCUCUUUGUACUUCUUCAGUUUUUGUGAAGAAAACUUAGAAAAAGCCUGAUGCAUUGUUACCUUGGGACAGGGUAUGAAAGUGUAAAUCAACAUUUGUGGACAGAGUAAGAUUUCAGAUUAAUUAAGGAUAGCUGAGCAACGCAACUAAAUUUGUGUGAGUGUAAAUCACACAUAAGGGGUAAGUCCUACUGAACAUCUACUAAUGGAGGAAUGCAAUGAAUAGAGAAGAUAAAUCCACACAGAGAGAAGCCAUGAAAAGCAAUAAGCAAAAUAGGCACAAAAAGUACUGACUUUCAAUAAAUGUUUUGCAAUAUAGUUUCAGUUUCUAAGUCUAUUUAGAAAACGACUUACAGAAUUAGUAGAAUAGAUGCUCUUAAGUUUGACCUCUUGCAGGCAAUGGUAUUUGCAAACAUGUAUUUGCUUGAUGAUAGGAAACUAUGUCCUCUUCCAUUAGGUCUACCUCUACAAUCGCAGCCUGGGCUGCCAUGUUCAUUGUAUUCCCCCUUUGAAUUGUUCAUCCCUGAUAUUCAAUUUGUGUAAGAUUGUUUGACAAAAUUGGGAAUAAUAAGAUAAUCAAUAUUAAAAAAGUUAGAGAAAAGCAAUAGAAAAGUAAAACUAUAUCCACGUAGAACCAAUAUAAUCAAUUAGUAUGUAAAAUUGAAUAAGGGGUAAUAAUAUCCACCUAGAACCAGUAUAAAAAAACAAUUGGAGAUUGAAAAACAAAGAUUUCAUAUCCACCUACAACCUCAACCCUAAAUUUCAAUUUGAGAUUGAAAAACCACAUUCAUAUAUGAAACAGUCGAGUCUACAUUAUCAAUAUGUCUACAAUAUUAAGUUCUUUAACUAUGUAGAACAAAUGAUAUACGGAGGAAGACCCCUUGCCGAUGUGCAAUUAGUAUUUGGCAAUGCAUGAAGGGAAAACAAACCACAUUUAUAUGAAGGUGCAUAUAACAAAAAUGAGUGAGAAUAUGGAAAGAAAAAAAAAGGUUAGAGAAUAAGUUGACCUGAAUGAGUGAGACGGAGAUAACUGUUUAUUUGUUUUGACAAUUGAAUGAAGAAUUUCUGCUGAGGGAAAAAGAAUUUGACUGGGGAAAAGCUUGGAUGGUAAUGAAUCGAUGAAUUCACAGAACAUUUCUAUGGAAUAGCAAGAUAAACACACAAUAUACUAAGUACAUUAAAUCAUUGUGCUGUAGGGAAGGGAUUCAAAACUAAGUAUUAAAUUUAAGGUCCAGUAGGUGACAAGGAUUCACAACUUUUAACCAUGGCAGAAAGAUGAUUAACGUGCAGUGAUGUAAAUUCAUAUUUUUUCUGUAAAAUUACAAUGGUCAAGUAGGCACGCUAUAGACUUAAAUAUUGAAGCCAUUUAUGUUAUUCAUCUCCUUCAGCUAUUCGAAUUUAUCUAGCGGCUAUCAUGACAUUCAGUUGGUCUGCCAAAGAUUAUAUCCAUGUUAAGCUCUGAAGACUUGGAAGUUCAAAUACACGGUGUGAAAGUUUUAGCUAAUCUUGGAGGUGAAGGUACAUAACUGUUGUGCUAUGUAGAAUAUUUGACAUCAAACUUUUGGAUAUUUAGAGAAGGUAGAUUUAUAAUUAUGAUUUAAUCCGCUUAGGACCUGUGAAAAUAAUCGUGACUUGAAAAUUGAAAUGCAGACAAAAAUCAAGAACCCAUGGUUGAAGAGAGAGGUUUAUAAGCUCUUCUUAUGUUUUUGCAUCAGGGGCUACUGCCAACUUGGCAAUUACUGGCACGUCAGACAAUUCAUUCUGGGGAAGAUUUCCUCUAGCACAAAAUAAAUCCUCUCUUUUAUCUCUAACAUCUAAACCUUGUAAUACAAAACAAACUUUAAAUUGGAUAGUCUAAAUUGUUUCUACUGAUCUAUUGAUAGGUCUUUUCAUGGCAUUUCAUGGCAUCUCACAAAAUUUAAAAUUUUAUGUAUAGGAUUUAAAAAAAAAUUGAUCUAACUAAUUCUGCUAUUAGGGUUUAAGAGCAGAGAAAUUGAGAGCAAGAGAGAAAUUAAUUACCUUUUAAGCGAGAGAAAUCUCUGAUUGAAGAGAAAGGAGAGAAGAAAGGUUCAGUAAAUGAAGAAAGGUUCAGUAAAUAAAGAAUUCGUCCAGUCAUACCUUAAUUAAUCCCAGUCAUACCUUAUUUAAUCCUAGUCAUACACACCAUCCUAAUCGUUCAGUAAAUUAUAAUCCCAGUCAUACUUUAUUUAAUCCUAGUCAUACUAAUCCAUUCUACUCAUACUAAAUAUUAGUCCUAGUCAAAUUAUGCACCAUUUGCUAAUUAUAAUUUAGAUAUAUGUGGUUCAUUGUCUUUUAUAAUGUUUAGAUACCAUACAUCAGAAUGCAAGUUAAUUAAGUAACAUUCAGUUAAAAAAAAUCUAAAACAAACCAACCCAUUCAUUAGAGUGCUUACUUAAGUAAUCAUGUUGUGCGCAGCGGAGAUUAAUGCACAAAUAUGAUGAUUGAACUAAUAUAUGAAAGUAAAACGAAAAACGACAAAAUAAACAAGCAACCACACACAAGACACAAGAUAUACGUGAUUCGGCAAUAUGCCUACGUCCACGGGGAGAAAUGAUGAUGUUUUUCUUAUAGAAACAAUUGUACAAGCCCUCACGAAGAAACCGAAGUCUUCUUCCUCACAAAAGUUCUUUCAAACUCUCUAAUGGCUUCUCACAAUCUCUCUCUUAGAAAAGUUCAGGUUUUGUAUCACUUCUAUUUGGCUUUAUAGUAUAGCCUUACAAUAGACCACGAAUUGGGCUCAAACAGGCCCAUUUGCACAAAACUAGAGGAGGACGUACGUACGUCUAAAUAACGUACGUACGUUGCAACACGUAAUCGUUAUCUGGCAUAUAUACGGGACGUACGAACGCCCUAACUGCGUACAUACGUUCCUUCUCCACAAAGUUGUCUGUCACACUGAACGUACGAACGCCCUAACUGCGUACAUACGUUCCUGUACAAAAAACUUCCCUCCGUCUGAUUUUGCACAUAAAACCCAACAAAUCACUCAUCCUUCGGAGUGCUUACUCAACUAAUCACUCAUACAUAGUGUAUAUAUAUAUACAAACACAAGGGCUCAGGUAUGGCUCGUCCGCAUACGGACUGAGGGCAAGCAAGGUAAAGAAAUUAACUGAUUAGUAAAAUUGUGACACAUGAGGAAGAGGAUUUCACCUGGUUUUCCACUUGGAUUAUGAAAAGAAGAAAGAGUUGGCUUAUCAGAGGAUUUCAGAGUAGUAGAAGAAGAAGAAGAGAGAGAGAGAGAGAGAGAGAGAGAGAGAGAGAGAGAGAGAGAGAGAGAGAGAGAGAGAGAGAGAUUAACCGGGUCCAAGCGGAUCCAAGUGGAAAACCAUAUUUACGACAACUCUUACCAAAAAGUUUAUUUCUUUACCUUGCUUGCCCUUAGUCCGCAUGCGAACGGGUCGUACCUGAGCCCCUCUGUAUAUAUACAGGGAAGCUAAUAAACCAACUCUCGUUUCUCCUCUUCCAGUAGCUACUUUUUAGGGAAUACAUAUAUAUUCUACAAUGAACGAAUAGUUUAUUUUAGCAAACUUAUUAUAAAGAAGAUAAUGCACAGGAAUAAAAUGGAAAAUACAUUAAAAACAGAAUCCAAGAAAUCUCGGUCAAGUCCUGAUUACAAACUAUGUCUUACUAAUAAAGGAAAAAAAAAAACAAUGAAAAUCACGUCCUGAUUUUAUAACAUAAUUUGGUUACGGCAUAAAUUUAUGUUGGACUACGUAUUUGGUGCUAUUUUAAAAGUGCAAAAAUUUCACAUCUUUUUUCUAAUAAACUUAGUAGGGGACCAUGUAUAAUUAUCUCAUACUUACCUAAGGUUUAGGUGGGGGACCAAGCUAGAUUAGUUGGGGACCAUUUAAAUCAAAGAGUAAAUUUGUGAGGGACCAUUCUAAUUAUAGAUGGGUAAAGAUUUGCCUUUUUUGCACCCCAAACAAGAAGCAGGGCCUAAGAGAUAAAACUAGCUAUACCUCAAUUUUUAAUUUAAAAGCUUCAAAAGUGCUGCAACUUUUAAUUUAAAACAAGGGGGGUGUUGCAUCUUUUAAUUAAAAACUGGAGGUAUCACUAAUUACCUCUAAAUUAAAACACACUAAUAAUUGAUUAAGUCACUAAGCAUGAAUAGUAUUUAAGGGUGUGUUUGAUUGCAAGCAUUUUCCCAAUGUAAUGAGAAAAUUUAUGUGUUUUCUCAGUGGACCAGUGGAAAAGGGGCACUAUUUAUGUGUUUGAUUGUUAACUUAAGCAGUGAGAAAAAGAAAAUCGUAUUUUCCCACUGUAUAGCUAUUUUCUCUAUACAGUGAGAAAACAUUUUCUUACCCUCCCCCUUAGAAUUCCAAACUAAUGAGAAAAUGGGGUUAUUUUCCCACUAAAGUGAGAAAAAAGGAUGGUUAAUUCCAAAUUAGUGAGAAAAUAAUUAGAAUUCUCACUAUCAAUCAAACACCAUAUUUGUGCAGAGUGAGAAUGACUUAAAACAUUUUCUUACUUAAGUGUGAAAAUAUUUUAAGUCAGUCCCACUUAAGUGGGAAAACUAUCUUUAAGUCAUUCUCACUCUCAUUUUUUCUCACUCCGCAAUUUUAAGUCAUUCUCACUCUCAUUUUUUCUCACUCCGCAAUCAAACGCAGCCUUAGGGUGUGUUUGAUUGCAAGCAUUUUCCCAAUGUAAUGAGAAAAUUUAUGUGUUUUCUCAGUGGACCAGUGGAAAAGGGGCACUAUUUUUAUGUGUUUGAUUGUUAACUUAAACAGUGAGAAAAAGAAAAUCGUAUUUUUCCACUGUAUAGCUAUUUUCUCUAUACAGUGAGAAAACAUUUUCUUACCCUCCCCCUUAGAAUUCCAAACUAGUGAGAAAAUGGGGUUAGUUUCCCACUAGAGUGAGAAAAAAGGAUGGUUAAUUCCAAAUUAGUGAGAAAAUAAUUAGAAUUCCCACUAUCAAUCAAACACCAUAUUUGUGCAGAGUGAGAAUGACUUAAAACAUUUUCUUACUUAAGUGUGAAAAUAUUUUAAGUCAUUCCCACUUAAGUGGGAAAACUAUCUUUAAGUCAUUCUCACUCUCAUUUUUUCUCACUCCGCAAUCAAACGCAGCCUUAGAAUUCCAAACUAGUGAGAAAAUGGGGUUAUUUUCCCACUAGAGUGAGAAAAAAUGAUGGUUAAUUCCAAAUUAGUAAAAAAAUAAUUAGAAUUCCCACUAUCAAUCAAACACCAUAUUUGUGCAGAGUGAGAAUGACUUAAAACAUUUUCUUACUUAAGUGUGAAAAUAUUUUAAGUCAUUCCCACUUAAGUGGGAAAAGUAUCUUUAAGUCUGACGUAGCGGAAGCGAUUAAAAAUCAAACCUUGAAUAACCCAAGGGGAGGAUUGCCUUGAAACAAGGAAGAACUAAAACAAAACUAAAGAAAAAUAAAUUGUAGAGACAAAUCUUAAUUGUAUUGAUUGAAUAAUUGAAUUGGUUCUACAAACCAUGACUCUUUAUAUAGACUAAAGACUAAGACCAACUAGCACUAGGACUUCCUAAACAAAGAAAUCAAAAUACAAAUCCUACUUUGAAUUGUAUUACUAAUAUCAACUUAGUAGUAAACCAACUAUUCUAAAACUUCUAGACUCUAAAUUAGAAAUUACUAAUUAAGAUAAAAAGAAAAUAAAAAAAAUAAAUUUCUGACGAUGAUGUCAGCCUUGUUGGUGAUGACGUCAGCAAUGACGUCAGCACUGUUCUGCAUCAGUCCCCUCUUCUUUAAAAGAACUCGUCCUCGAGUUAGAAGUAUCAUCAGCAUGAAAAGGAUAGAUAUCUUUGACAUUGAAGAUCUUGGAAAUAUGCAUGUCACUCGGAAGAUCGACAAUAUAAGCAUUGUCAUUGAUCUUGCGAAGAAUCUUUAGGGGACCAAUCUUCUUCAUUUUCAACUUGUUGUAAGUACCUACUGGAAAUCUCUCCUUACGCAAAUGCACCAUUACUAAGUCUCCAACUUCGAAUGUUUGAGAACGACGAUGUUUGUCAGCAUCUUCCUUGUAAUGAGUAUUAGAAUUCUCAAUAUUCUUCUUGACUGUGUCGUGAAGCUGAGUCAUACUAUCAACCAUUGCAUCUGCAUCAAAAUUCAUACCUGAAACCUUAGGCAAAGAGACAAGGUCAAGGGUAUGAUUGGGAACUUUAGCAUAGACAAUUUGAAAAGGAGAAUAUCCUGUAGUACGACUCUUUGAGGUAUUGUAAGCAAACUCGGCUUGAGGCAAAGCAAGAUCCCAUUGUUUUGGUUUGUCACCAGAGAGACAACGAAUCAAAUUUCCCAAUGUUCGAUUCACAACUUUAGUUUGACUAUCAGUUUGUGGGUGAGAAGUACUACUAAAUUUCAAGGAAGUGCCAAGUCUCAUCCACAAAGCCUUCCAGAAGUAACUUAAAAAUUUGGUGUCACGGUCUGAAGUAAUAGAUUUUGGAACUCUAUGUAAACGAACAAUUUCCUUGAAGAAUAAAGUAGCAAUAUUGGAAGCAUCCGAUGUCUUCUUGCAAGGAAUAAAAUGAGCCAUCUUGGAGAACCUAUCUACAACAACCAUAACCGAAUCAACAGCUCUUUGAGUCCGAGGGAGACCCAAGAUAAAAUCCAUAGAAACAUCAACCCAUGGUGCAUCAGGAACCGGUAAUGGUAUGUACAAGCCAGUAUUUUGAGAUUGACCUUUUGCGGUUUCACAAGUAUAACACCGCUGAAUGAGAUUACCAACAUCUCUUUUUAGGGAUGGCCAAUAAUACCUUUCUUCAAUCGAAGCAAUAGUCUUGUCACGACCCAUGUGACCUGCGAGACCUCCAGCAUGCAUUUCACGAAUGAUAUGUUCUCUAAGGGAGCCCUGAGGAAUGCACAAGUGAUUUCCCUUGAAAAGAAAACCAUCCUGAAUAAGGAAAUCAUCUGUACCAGAUUGAUUUUGAGAGCAUUUAAUCCACAUAUCUGAAAAAUCGGGAUCAUCAUCAUAUAAAUCCUUCAAAUAAUCAAACCCAACAAUAUCAGUGUUGACUGUAACGAGCAAAGAAGCUCUUCGACUGAGGGCAUCAGCUACUUUGUUUUGUUGACCUGAUUUGUGCUUAAUCACAAAAGUGUAUUUGUCAAUUGUGUCUUUCCAUCUGUCGUGCUUUCGAUUUGUCUUGGAACUGCUUUGAAGGAAUUGCAAAGCUUGGUGGUCAGUGUAGAGAAUAAAUUCCCGAUGGAUCAGAUAGUGAUGCCAAUGACGCAAUGUUUGAACCAACGCAAAGAGUUCCAAUUGAUAAGUAGACCAUUUCUUUCGAGCAUCAUUAAGUUUCUCACUAAAAAAUGCAAGAGGCUUACCUUUUUGAGAAAGAACAGCGCCAAUACCCAUGAUGGAAGCAUCACAAUCUACUUCAAAAAUCCUGGAAAAAUCAGGUAGAGCGAGAACCAGGGCUGUAGAAAGUUUGUCUUUAAGUAAGUUAAAACUUUUGUCGGCUUCUUCAGUCCAUUCAAAUUUAGUACCUCGCAUACAAUGUGUCAAAGGAGCUGCAAUAGAGCUGAAGUUCUUGACAAAACGUCGGUAAAAAGUAGCCAAACCAUGGAAAGAACGAACAUCAUGAAUUGUACGAGGUGUAGGCCAUUCUCGUAUUGCUUUCACCUUGUCUUCAUCAACAUGUAUACCUGAAGCACUUACAAUGUAGCCAAGAAAAAGAAUCCGGUCUGUCAUGAAAUCACACUUCUUGAUGUUGAUGAGAAGCAAAUUAUCAUAGAGAACCUUGAAGAUUUCCCAAAGAUGACACAUGUGUUGUUGCUCAUUCUGACUAUAAAUUAAUAUGUCAUCAAAAUAUACGACAAUGAACUUUCCAAUGAGAGGCUGCAACACUUUAGUCAUCAAACGCAUAAAUGUACUUGGGGCAUUUGACAAACCAAAAGGCAUUACCAUCCAUUCAUAAAGACCAUCCUUUGUCUUGAAAGCAGUUUUCCAUUCAUCUCCUGGUCGUAUGCGGAUUUGAUGAUAACCACUCUUUAAAUCAAUCUUAGAGAACACUUUAGAACCAAUAAGCAUAUCAAGCAUAUCAUCCAAGCGAGGAAUAGGAAACCCGUAGCGAAUGGUAAUUUGGUUGAUUGCACGACUAUCAACACAUAUACGCCAAGAACCAUCUUUCUUUAGCACAAGCAAAGCAGGAACUGCACAAGGACUCAUACUAGGGCGAAUGAGGCCUUUCUCGAGUAAAUCAUUAACUUGGCGUCGAAGCUCUUCAUGUUCUUUAGGUGCCAUACGAUAGUGGGGAAGAUUGGGAAGACUUGCACCAGGCAUCAAAUCAAUGUGAUGUUGAAUAUCACGCAUUGGAGGCAAUGAUGAAGGUAGAUCGGUGGGUAUGAUAGUUUUGAAUUCAUCCAAUAAAGGUUGGACAACCAUGCGAAUUUUUGAUUCUUCUCUCUUUUCUUCCUUAAGUACAAGAGCAUAGAUUGUGUCAGUCUUUUUGAAAUCCUCUUCAUGGUCCUUAGAAAUCAAACAAGUUCGCUCUUCGACUUUAGAAACUUCAUGAACAGGUUUUGGACGCAUAGAACCCAAAGUAUGUUUUUCAUCAUCUUUCUUAAAGGUAAAUGUAUUGGCAUAACAAUCAUACAUAGCACGACGAUCCCAUUCCCAAGGUCGACCAAGUAACAAAUGGCUAGCAUCCAUAUCAAGAACAUCACAAAGAACCUCAUCAUGAUACUUACCAAGAAAAAUUGAACACGACAUUGAGUUGUCACCAUGAGUGAGUGACCAUCCUUAACCCAACCAACGGAAUAAGGCUUAGGAUGUGGAGUCACUGGUAGAUCCAACCUAGUCACCAUAUAAGUAGAAACAUAAUUAUCAUGGGAACCACCAUCAAUAAUCAAAUUAACAGCCUUAUCUUUAACUUGACAACGAGUCUGAAAAAUCCUUUUUCGUUCAGAAUUCACCGGUUGAGAAGGAGCAUAGAGAAGCCUUCGAAUAACACCCAGGAAUGGAGCAUCCACUUCAUAUUGAAUCUCAUUACUAGGUUCACAUUUAUCAUAAUAAUCUUCAUCAUAGUCAUCAUCGCAAUUGUUUUCAUCAUGAUCAAUAAAGUUAACUCUAGACUUGUCUCGUUUUGGACAUUCAUGUUGCUUAUGUCCAGGUUGGCCGCAACGGUAACAAUUGGGCAUGGUAGGGUAAGCAUAUGGAUUGGUUUUGCUUGGUUGGGUGGUUUGUGGAGCUUUGGUAGGUGGAGGUUGAUCAUCGUUGGAAGCAAGUGUGGUUUGAUUGUUUGUAGGAGUGUUGGGUGAAUAGUUAGUGUUUGGAGAAUUUUGAUUAUUGUGGUGUGCAGUAGAUGAUGGUGGAGGGUUGUAGUUGUUGCGACGAUUUGGAUAAGAAGAAGAUGAUGGAGAAGAGUAUGACUUACUAGAAUUCGAGCGGAAACCAUUAUGUUGUUCAAUGUUGAGUGCGAUUUGAAUUGCAUCGGCCAAGGUAGGAAUUGAGUGAAAAAUCUUCUCCACGAUAUUCCUAUUCAAACCAUUACGAAAACGAGUAACUAAUUGAUCUUCACUUUCCACGAUGUUAUUUCGAGAUACCAAGCGAUGAAACUCAGCAGCAUAGUCAUCAACACUACGAGAUCCUUGGCGACACGAUAGCAGUUGGUUGUAUAAAAUUUGCUCAUAAUCCUUAGGCAAGAAACGCUCCAUAAUCAAAGUUUUCAUACGUGCCCAAGAAACAAUAUCCCGCUUAUUAUUCUUUCGACGAUGAGCCUUGAGUUGUUCCCACCAAGCAGAAGCACCUUGUUUGAGUUUAUAUGCCACAAGCUUAACUUGUGCAUGUUCAGGAGUAUUCAUGUACUCAAAGAAAUGCUCAACUUCAUGAAUCCAAUCAAGAGUCUCCUCAAUAUGCAUAUUACCAGUAAAAGUAAGGAGAUCAAUUUUCAUACGAAACUGGUCAGAUUGAGUACGAAAAUUAUUGUUGUGGUGUUGUUGAGGUUGAGGUUGAGGGCAUGCUUGUUGAUAGUAAUUUUCAGCAUCAUCAUCACUAUCAUGAUCAUCAAGAUAAGAAUUUGGUGCUCGAGGGGCGCGACGGUUAUAAGUUUGUUGAAAACGAUUAAUAGGAAGAUUGGGGGGUGGUUGAAAAUUUUGUGUAGUGGGUGGGACAUUGUUGGUUGAAUGUAGGAGUUCGUAGCGAGAUUGAGAUGGAGAAGCAAUAGUCGUAUAAGUGGUGCGAACUUGUGGAGUAUUGGAGAGUUGAGAUGGUUGGGAGUUAUUAUAGGGUUGUUUGUAUGGGUAGGGAUGUGAAAAUAGGUUUUGUGGUGUUUGGGGGCAACCAUGAAUAGGGAGAGAUGUGAAGUCAAUAUUGGAACCUUGUGGUAAAGUUGUGGUGGUGGUGGAAAAUUGGGGUGGUUGAGAUAUAUUGGUCAUAGUAAAGGGUGGGAGGGUGAGAGCAUCAACAAUAGAUUGCUUACCUUCAAACUUAUCAAAUCGAAGAGUAAGUUUAUCGAUUGAAGCGGUGAGACGAUUAAUAGCCGAAUUGAAUUCAACCUUCGUCACAUAAUCUCCAAGAUUACCGACUUGGGAGCGGGGUGAAGAAUCUCCGUCAUUAACCAUUGCAGGAUCGAAACGAAGCUCUUGAUACCAAUUGACGUAGCGGAAGCGAUUAAAAAUCAAACCUUGAAUAACCCAAGGGGAGGAUUGUCUUGAAACAAGGAAGAACUAAAACAAAACUAAAGAAAAAUAAAUUGUAGAGACAAAUCUUAAUUGUAUUGAUUGAAUAAUUGAAUUGGUUCUACAAAGCAUGACUCUUUAUAUAGACUAAAGACUAAGACCAACUAGCACUAGGACUUCCUAAACAAAAAAAAUCAAAAUACAAAUCCUACUUUGAAUUGUAUUACUAAUAUCAACUUAGUAGUAAACCAACUAUUCUAGAACUUCUAGACUCUAAAUUAGAAAUUACUAAAUAAGAUUAAAAAAAAAAAAAAAAAAAAAAAAAAAAAAAAAAAAAAAAAAAAAAAAAAAAAAAAUUUU
This 52861-nucleotide long non-coding RNA is filed under the name Aquilegia coerulea. Its description in RNAcentral is "long non-coding RNA (ACOE_LNC001459)". The record is from RNAcentral. Lineage: Eukaryota; Viridiplantae; Streptophyta; Magnoliopsida; Ranunculales; Ranunculaceae.